CCAUCUCUUUUUUGUAUGUUUCUAGCCAAAGAAUUGCAAAUUUCUAGUACUCUGUCUCUCACCCACAAUGCUAGAGUUGCACAAGUACUACUUGACACUGAAAUAAGGAGAGCUUGGCCGACAUAUUUAUAUAGUCAGGGGGUGGAAAGUGGGUGCAACAGAGGAAGAACUUUUGUACUACAAUAAGGUAUAUUUUAUUUGAACAAAUUUUCUAUUCUAAAAUGCAAAAGAGCACUCUGAAUAAGGAAGGUGCAAUAGCAAUAUCCCAGGAUGCUCUUUUAUUAUGUCAUCCACCAAUCCUUAGGGGCACUACGGCUUACAACUCAUGCUUUUUUUUUUGGAGGGGUUUGAUUUUAAUGAUUUUAUAUACAAAAUGAACUCCUAAUCAGCUAAAAAACAAUUCAGAAAUGAUGGAAGGACCAAUUAUGGCUUGCCAUUCGGCCUCAAUAAUGUAGGGGCUAUCCAGUUCUGGCUUUUGGGUACUGCUAUUGUCUAUAGAGGAGAUCAAUUUGCUACAAUGACCGAAGAAAUUCAGGAUAUACUUCCCUUUGCUUUGCUUUAGUAGGUUUAUCUUUUACUAGUGGGUUGUCAUUAAUUUAUCAAUCUCUAAUUCUCUAUAGUUAUAAAGAAAUAAAUGCAUUUAACUUCUUUUUCUUAAAUCUUUGAGCGGGUCAAAAUAAAUUGAGUCAAUAAAUGAAUAGGGCUAUAAUCCGCCGAAUGUUUUGCUUGGGACACAAUGGACAUGUGAAUUUGGACUAAGCGACGGGUCAUAAUUUAAUCUGUCCAAUUCAAAAGUUUUUUUAUUUGUUUGUUCUUUUAACCUUUGUUUAGUUAUCAAAUCAAACUAAUGAAGUAAUAAUCUUUUCUUUAUUUAUUGUGAUUAUUUCAAGCAAAUCAAGCUCAAAUAAUUAUUUUCUCUGUUUUUUGAUAAGUUUUCUUGUGGUUCAAUUUGAGUUACAUAUGCAACUCAAAUUGGCCCAAGCUUUAGAUCAGCUGAAUUGAACUAUGCCCAAAAUCAUUCGUCAAUAAACAUAUGCCUAGCCAACUUGUCCAAGUCUGGACGGAUUAAGCACGAGCCAAAUUUGACACGGAUACAUAAUAUACAUUGGGUUUUUCUAUGCAUGGAAAGGGUCAAAUUGUUGAACCAAAAAAGAAAAGCAAAAGGAAUGGUUCAAGUUGACAGAAUACGAAAAUAGAGUCUAUUAAUUUUGUUACGCUCGAUAACUUUGUUGGUAGGUACUUUAUGCUGUUAUACAAAAGUUAUUAAUAUAACAUAUACUCAUUGGCACUGUUUCAAUGAUUGAACGUCAGAUGUUUCAUACCAUCCUUCUUCUCUUAUUUUAUAAUCAUAUUAUAAUAUAAAGUUACUUCUUUUCUUGGAUGUGUUGAAUGAGCGCAAAAUCACUCUCAGGGGAAUUAGAACACUUCUUUUACAAAGGACAUUGGUACCACUUUGAACGUUCUUGCUUUAAUCUUAGUCGUUUAAUAAUAUAUGUGCACACAUCCGCUUGCCUCAUAUUGGUUUCAUGAUAAAAAUGAAAAAGACGUUAGUUUUAUAAAGUAAGAUUAAACAAUUGAAAGAUGGAGAGCCAAAGGUGCAUCUCAUUUCUUCUAAAUGGAGUGGGGUUAAUUUCACCAUGAUCAUCCAACUUAUCAUUUAUUUCACAAAAGUCAUUUAUUUAUUUUUCAUCACUUAAAAGUCACUCAACUUUACCUUUGUAACUUAAAAGUCAUUCUAGUUCAAAACUUAUAAAAUAUCCAAUAAAAUAUAUAACAUGACAGUAUAUUUAAUUAAAAAAUCUAACAAUAAUGCCACAUAAGCUUAAAUAGACCAUAUCUAAGUUAGACCCAUUUCUUCCUCAGCUCGAUUUCGGUCGGUUUUUUGAAUAUUAGUUUUAAUUUAUUUAUAUGAAAAACCGACCGAUUUCGGUCGAUUUCUUAAAAAAUAAAUUUUGCGGGAUUCUAAAAUAGUUUCCCGCAGUUUGCGCCAAAAAAAACCGACCAAAGUCGGUCGGUUUGGUAAAAGAAAAUUAAAAAAUAAAAUAUUUUGGAAAACCGACCGACUUCAAUCUCAAGAACAACAAGCUAAUAAGAACUUAUUCUCACAAAUUACUAUUCCAUUAAAGUCAAAAUAUUAGUAAGAAACACCCACAAUAAUUGCAUAGUAGAAGUUCACUACUAAAAAUUCGGCCAAAAUAGACUGCGGCCAACCGACCGACUUCGGUCGGUCAAAACACCGACCGAAAAAUCUAUNNNNNNNNNNNNNNNNNNNNNNNNNUCAAGAACAACAAGCUAAUAAGGAACUUAUUCUCNCAAAAUUACUAAUUCCAUUAAAGUCAAAAUAUUAGUAAGAAANACCCACAAUAAUUGCAUAGUAGAAGUUCACUACUAAAAAUUCGGCCAAAAUAGACUGCGGCCAACCGACCGACUUCGGUCGGUCAAAACACCGACCGAAAAAUCUAUCGAAGUCGGUCGAUUUUCUCAAAUAUUUUUUUUAAUUUUUUUUUACGAAACCGACCGACUUUGGUCUGUUUUUUUAGCGCAAAAAUGAGGAAAACUAUUUUAGAAUCCCGCAAAAUUUAUUUUUUAAGAAACCGACCGAAAUCAGUCGGUUUUUCAUAUAAAAUAAAUUAAAACUAAUAUUCAAAAAAUCGACCGAAAUCGGGCUGAGUAAGAAAUGGGUCUAACUUAGAUAUGGUUUAUUUAAGCUUAUGUAGCAUUAUUGUUAGAUUUUUUAAUUAAAUAUAAUGCCAUGUCAUAUUUUUUAUUGGAUAUUUUAUAGGUUUUGAAAUAGAAUGACUUUUAAGUUACAAAGUUAAAGUUGAGGGACUUUUAAGUGAUGAAAAAUAGAUAAGUGACUUUUGUGAAAUAAAUGAUAAGUUGGAUGACAUUCAGUGAAAUUAACCCUAAAGGAAGACUCUAAUUUCUCUACUUAUAUUAAGACUAGUCCUCCCCACGUAAAAAUUGCAAAGGGCACCCUAUUUGGUCGCUCCUUUUUAACUUAUACCCGUUUUAUUUUUUCGUUUGCAUCCGUACCCAUUUUUUGUUAAAAACGUUUUAAAAAGAUGAUUUUGCCCUUCUUUAAUAAAAGACUAUUGACAAACUGCAGGACAAAAAUUUAAGCAUUUAUACUGAAGUUUCGGAUAAAACUCAGGACAAAACUAUAGAGUGCGUUACAAAACUUCAGCAUGUUUUGGUAUGAAGUUUAGCAAAUGAACUAAAUAACUUCAACAUGCGUUAGCAAAAACUCUUUAGAAAAUUACAUAUUGCAAGACAAAAACUUAAGCAUGUUUAGUCUGAAGUUUAGCAAAUGAACUAAAAAAGUUCAGCAUGUUUAGUCUGAAGUUUUAGCAAAUGAACUAAAAAACUUAAGCAUGUUUAGUCUGAAGUUUUAGCAAAUGAACUAAAUAACUUAAGCAUNNNNNNNNNNNNNNNNNNNNNNNNNNNNNNNNNNNNNNNNNNNNNNNNNNNNNNNNNNNNNNNNNNNNNNNNNNNNNNNNNNNNNNNNNNNNNNNNNNNNNNNNNNNNNNNNNNNNNNNNNNNNNNNNNNNNNNNNNNNNNNNNNNNNNNNNNNNNNNNNNNNNNNNNNNNNNNNNNNNNNNNNNNNNNNNNNNNNNNNNNNNNNNNNNNNNNNNNNNNNNNNNNNNNNNNNNNNNNNNNNNNNNNNNNNNNNNNNNNNNNNNNNNNNNNNNNNNNNNNNNNNNNNNNNNNNNNNNNNNNNNNNNNNNNNNNNNNNNNNNNNNNNNNNNNNNNNNNNNNNNNNNNNNNNNNNNNNNNNNNNNNNNNNNNNNNNNNNNNNNNNNNNNNNNNNNNNNNNNNNNNNNNNNNNNNNNNNNNNNNNNNNNNNNNNNNNNNNNNNNNNNNNNNNNNNNNNNNNNNNNNNNNNNNNNNNNNNNNNNNNNNNNNNNNNNNNNNNNNNNNNNNNNNNNNNNNNNNNNNNNNNNNNNNNNNNNNNNNNNNNNNNNNNNNNNNNNNNNNNNNNNNNNNNNNNNNNNNNNNNNNNNNNNNNNNNNNNNNNNNNNNNNNNNNNNNNNNNGUUUAGUCUGAAGUUUUUGCAAAUGAACUAAAUAACUUCAGCAUGUUUAGUUUGAAGUUUUAGCAAAUGAACUAAAUAACUUCAGCAUGUUUAGACAGAAGUUUCAGAUAAAAUUCAUGAUAAAACUGUAGACUGCAUGACAAAUAACUUCAGCAUGCAUUAGCAUGAAGUUUUAGCUUCAACAUGAAACAACUUCAUGCUGCAUUAGCAUGAAGUUUUAGCUUCAAGGGGAAACAACUUCAUGCAAGUGUGAUUCUGAAAAUAAAUCUGAACAAGUUUCUGAUUUUUUUAUAAAGUUGCUGAGAGGAGAGGAUGAGAUCGUUUUAUAUCUUUUGUCAGGAGUGUAAUUGUCAUAUUAUUACGGAUUUUUUGUGAGAUGGCUACCAAAUCAAUAAUUUUAAAAAAUAGGAUACAAAUUAAAAGGUGACACAAAUAUAAGGUGCGACUGCAAAUCCCCUCCCCGCUGAACAUUAAGGAUGCAUGUACUGUAUCUUUUUUCUACUUAAAGCUUAUUUAACUUUUAACAGAAAGUUAUAUGUCAUUUUAAAAUCGUGACCAAUUACUUCUAGCUCUCUCAUUGGAUGUAUGUCGUCGGCGUUGCCGAGUAAUUGAAAUUAAAAGUGAAUGAGCCUAACACGGUUAAAAAUUUAUUUGGUUAAUAGACCUAAAUAAUUUGCUUGUAUUAACACCGUGUUUCCCGUUCUUCUCGUGACGAAUUAUAUGUCACGUCCCAAACUACAUCCCAGACGUGAUUGACACCCAGUUAACAUUACCCGUCAGGCAAAUUAUACUUUUUUAGCUUAUCCAUUAAUUUACAGUAUUUAAUUAAUCACAAGAGUGUCUAAAUAAUCUGACAACUAAAUUACAAAAUAUAUAUUAAUAUCUUGAAAUAUUAUAAUGAAAUUCUAACCCAAAUUCCACACUAGACCAUGCAACAUCUAAUAGAAUUGCAAGAGACAUCAUACGAAUGAAUAAUAAAGACUCUUUUGGCGGCCUCCACGAACAAUGCGGCGGCUCACCUCAACAACCGAAUCAACUCUAGUGAACUCGUCAGCUACUAGCUCCGUCUUCACCAAUAGUAUCUGCAUAGACAUGUAGGUAAGGAGCGAGUUAUAUGUAAAUAUAACCCAGUAAGAUCCUCGACCCGCCACUAUGAAUACCUCUAGAAUAAGUGUUAGAAAAUACAAACACACAACGAGCACAGAAAUAAUAUGCACAAAAAUCUUUCACCAUAUAAUUACUCUAUAAUGCCCAACCAAUUAUUCAACAACAACACUAUGUAUAUCUCAACACAAUCUACACUAAGGACUUGUCAUUAACAGCAGUGCAGGAAAUUAACCAAACACCCCGACGAGUCCACGACAGCAUACACAAUGCCUCAAAUCUAUCACAGCAGCAUACACAAUGCCCCAAAUAUAUUAUGGUGGCAUACACAAUUUCCCAAAUCUAUCACAGCGGUAUACAUGAUGCCCCAAAUCUAUUACGGCGGCAUACACAAUGCCCCAGAUAUAUUACGGCAACGAAGAAAUAAUUUCGCUCCAACGCCAUAGCACGAGGCUACGCCACAUCACACUACACCAAUAAUCACUUAUUAAAUUUUCAAUUUUUUACAAAAUAAUAUAUAUUUGCGGCUGGUCAAAGACCACCGAUUUUGCCAAGCGCACGCUCGUCCCAACACAUGGACCAGGCAGACAAAAUAUUUUUCAAAACGGGUUUUGAAAAAUCAAGUAUCAAAGUUUAAAGUCCCACUUACCUCGCAAAUGACAAAUUUUCCGACCUUGCAAUAUUUAGAUCACCAAUCAAACGGCCUUCGAUGGCCUCAAUGUACGUAAAAUAUUAAUGAAUGAUAUCAAUUAUGCUAGUCGAGGUUAUCUCAUAAUUGUUAUAUAUACCAAAGUCAGUAAGUGAUAUGCUAACAAUUCAACUAAUCCCUUGAACACUCACAUAUGUAAAACUCAGUAAACUUGAAAGUUCCUAAGCAUAAUGGACUCAAUGACUCGUUAAUACAGCUGUAGCUAUACAUGAGUUGAAUUAUCCAAUUCUAAUCACAUGAAUGUGUAAUGUAGAUCCCACGAUUUCCCUGUGCAAAUUAUUUGACUUCAAAAUGCAAUGUUACAAAGCUUUGUCCAUAAUAUUAUGUCUUCCAUUACUACUCAAUCAUCAUGGCUCCUAAAUUAUUAGCAGUGGCCGAAACCAGUAAGGAAAAUAUUUUUCCAUAGCAUAGUACCCUUCAACUUAUAAUUAAUUCAAUUCCUCAAUCAUUAUUCUCCUCAUUACUUAUUCAUUAUUAUAUUCAUGCCAUUCAUAUAUUUCUAAUGUACUAAGGGGUCGUUUGGUAGGGUGUAUAAGAAUAGUGCGGAAUAGGGUGUAUUAGUAAUGUAUGGAUUAGUAUUGCAUGGAUUAGUAAUGCAAGCAUUAGUUAUGCAGAUAUUAUUUCUUAUCUAUUGUUUGGUGUGGUGUAUUAAAAUUAUAAUACAUUGCAUAAUUUUUAAGAAAAAUAGGUUUUUACAAAAAUACCCUCCAUAUUCUCAAGUUUUAAGGGACUUUAAGGAUAAUUUUUUCUUUAACCAACCUAAUACAUGCAUUAGUGUGAGCACGUGAUUUUUGCCCGACUAAAAUAUUCCUAUAGAAAUUCACAAAUAGAUUUUUUUUUUUCUUAAUUGUUUUUAGUUUUAUAGAAUUUGUAGGAAUUUCGGUUUAAAAGCUGCUUGCAUUUAGUUGCAUAUUUAACAUUCUAAAAUCAUAAAAAAAAUACCAAAAUGUCUAAAGUAUUUCUUGCAUAACAUUUUAGGUCUAGUUGCAUUUAGGAUUUAAUUGCAUGAGUUAACUGCAUUAUUAAACAAAAAUCACGAAAAUAUGAGUCGUUUUUACAUUUUUAGGCUUUAAAUUGCAAAUUAGUAAUUCUUCUUUUAUUAGUCUAAAUUAAUUAAUUAUGAUAAAAUAGAUAACUAGGUUUAUUUCUACAAAUUAGCUUGAUUUAAUACUUAAUUUAGGUUUUAAUUAAUUAGAAUUUAAAAUCAAGAAAAAGAAAAGAAAAGAAAGAAAUUCUGUUUGGUCUCAAACUUGGGCCAAAACAAUGUCUGGCCCAAACGAUCGCCCCAAGUCCGCUAAGCCCAACCCCUCACCUGGCCCAGCCUCGUCACUUAACCAAAACGAUGUCGUUUCGUUAACAGGCGAUCUCAGCCGUUGAUCUCCUUUGAUCUAACGGCCCGUAAUCUCCCCCCCCCCCCCAAACCCCUUAUAUUUGUCGGAUCCACCCCCAAAACCCUGGAGACCCCCCUUAUUUUCCUCUCCCUCUCCUUCACUCACCAAACCCUAGCCGCCCCCAAACCCCUCGUCUCUCUCUCUCAAACUCACUCCAAACCCUAGCUGCCCAGAAUCCCCACGCCGACGGCACCACUCCGAAUCCUCUCAAACUCGCACCCUAUGACCCUCAUACCCUCCUAAUCCCUAAUCCCCCAUCAAUUUCAUCAAAAACCCCACCAAAAUUAGCGAAUCUUAGAUCUAAAAAUUCCAGAAAAACCCUAGUCUGGUUUAUUUCUAAAUAACUUUGGUGUUUCUGUUUAUUUUAGUUCAAGGCUUACAUGCAUCGAGUAAUCUUGUUGAGAGCAUCUAUUCUAGGCUAGUCUCGACCCGUUUCGAAGUUACCGGAGUCCGGUCCUUUCAUCGAUUCGCGGCUAGAGUUCAUCGUUCCUGUUGCCCGUCGGGUUAUUUCGUUUACUCAUUUCUUUAGCGUUAAAUUAGUAUUCUUUUUUCCUCAUUUGUUCCGGCUCUGUGUUUUUCUUGUUUGUUUUUGUUUUGUUGUUUUUCCUUCUUUUUCUUUUUUCCCGAUUGGUUGAUUAAGCUUCGUCGUUAAUUGCAUGUUCAAUUUGUUCAACUAAUAAACUAAUUUAGAUUAAUUAAAGGUUAAAUAUUUAGUCAAAUCUCUGAUUUUAUUUGAAAUAUGGCAUUUGUUGUUUCAUUUCUUUUGUGGGCUGGUUUCUUUAAUGUCGGAUCUGGGCUUGGUUUUGGGCCAUUUGGGUCCAAGCCUAAGCAGAUAGUCUGUUUCUAGAAGGGACAGCUGGCAUUUUUCAGUUGGAAAAAGAUUCCCUCCCCUCGUCUAUUUUUCCUGAAUUCACGCUGACAUAUUCCUUCCCCCCAACAGACCUUCUCUGAUUUUAGAUAGCCUAUAUAUACACCCUUCACACAGAAACGAAGGGUGGGAUUUUAGACUGAGUUUUAUUCCUCUCAAAUACAAUCGGGAAUAGACAGAUUUUAGGGAGAGUUCUUUGAAAUUGAAUCUUCUUCUCAUUUUCUGAGAUGGAUUUCUUCUAGAGAGUACUGGAAAUUCCCAGACUUAAGGCUGUUUUUCUCUGGUUUGCUGCUGCUGUUGACUAGCUGUGUUUGAGGCUUAGCUUUAAGGCUAGGAUUGUUGCUUGGUUUUCUUGGUUGCUACUCAGUUCUGCUGGUUGUUUAUUUCUCUCUUGGCCUUUAUUUGGCUCUUCAGCUGGUCUAUCAGUUGUUAGGUAUUUAUCACAAUUCUAUACAUUGGUUAUGCUUCAAAAGGGAUUGCUAAUUUUCUCUUUGUUGACUUAUCACUGUGUUUUCGAUGUAUUGACUUAAAUCCUAAUGUAUUUAAAUAGUUUCUUAUUGCUGAUAUUUUUUUAAGGGCAGAUUUAGUUCGUUCAUAGUGACAUGUUGCGUUUUCAGCCUUGUAUGUCUGGUUUGUUAGUUCUAAAUGUUGUUUAAGUUGUUUUGCUUGGAUUGACCAUUUGUAUUGCUUUUCCUUUUCUUCCUAUUGCUGUUAGUAUACAUUCUCAAGAAAAAAAUGACUUUGUUUGGAUGAGACUGCCAGCAGUACCUUAGUCAAACCUGAACAUAUGGGCCAUUUGAUUCGCCAAACAGUUUAUGAAGAAUAGCCCAAUGGCUAUAUCUUUGUAAGUUUGGGAGAGUAAUUGGAAGCAGAAGUCCUCAAGUAGGAAGCUCAGGGUCACGUUAGGCAUUAUGUUGUGUAAUAAAGGGCUUCAUAAGCAAAGUACCCUUGAUAGCAAUAGUUAAGUCUUCUGUAACGUUAAGUUUGAGGGUUGUCUGCUGAUAAAUGAUUUGUACAAGAUUUGUUUUGAAAAGGUUUGUAAUAAUUCAUGAAUUCAGCUACUGUAAUCAGUAGCUAUGGAGUAGGUUAUCUUUGUAAAUUUAACCUCUAAUUUAGCUUUACACAUGGUUUCAAAAUUUAGGUGAAUGAUGUUCUUCUCCGGAUUUCGUCUUAACAGGGACUUCAUAAAUGGGCCAGACUUGUAACUUGGGCCAGUUGGGAGUCCUUUGAGCGAGUCUGGACCUUAGGCCGUUGGGCCUGGGGUAUGGAGCCCAGUAAUAGGGCUUGAUCGUGUAUUUGUUCAGAGCUGGUGUAGCCGAAGUGUUAUUAUACUAGUGUUGCAAAUUCAGAAUGUACUUGUGCUGUAAAUUAGAAUCAAGUUCGAUCAUUCUCUUGGUUGGCUGUCGAUUAUCUCAUAAAUUAAAUUGAGUUGAUAACAUGUUAGUUUAUAAUUCUAUAUAAUGUUUGCUUCUGGAAAUUAAAUGUCAUUUUGAAUAGUCUAAGACCCUCAGGAAAGAAUGAUCUGGCUCCUACAGUAUAUCUCCAUAACGUUUGUACCUCACAUGCAAUCUCGAACUUUAGGAUAAUCAAACCAUGAAUAUGCGUAGUUUUGCUUUAGGCGCGAUUAAUAAUAAAUCAUCGUGACUAUGGGUACGGUUCCCGUGACAUAGUUAUGAUACGUAAUCCCAAUCCGAGUGUACGUUUCACGUAACUCGACCACAAUUUCAAACAAUAAUAAAAACAAGCAUGUCGUAAAUCGCGGGUACAUUUCAUGUGGCGCGGUUUGCAACGUGUGCCAAAAUGACAAGUAUACGACAUCGUGACUUGUUUCCAAAAAUAAUUCCAUAAACAAUUGAAAGUGGUUAGAAGAUAAACAAUGUACCGUAAGUUUCAAAUAUGUAAUAAAUCAUAUAAUUAGGCCAAAUUAUUAAUAGUUGAGCGACCGUGCUAAAACCUCGGAACUCCGGAGUGCCUCACACCUUCUCCUGGGUUAACAGAAUUCCUUACCCAGUUUUCUGUGUUCGCGGACCAUAGAUAGAGACAAAUUUCCUCGAUUUGGGAUUUAAAAUAAACCGGUGACUUGGGACACCAUAAAUUAUUCCAAGUGGCGACUCUGAUAAAUAAAUAACCCAUUUCGAUUAAUGUCACUUAAAUUGGAAAAACUCCCCUAAUAUCCCGUUCGGGAAAAAAAGGAGGUGUGACAAUUAGUAGCCUUGGUAUUACUAAUGCCAUGGUUUUCUAUGCAUUACUUAUACAUAGGAUAAUACCAAAUAUGAUGUAUAACUAAUACACAUGUUGAAAAAAUAUACCAAGCAAGGUAUUAGUAAUGCAUAGAGAUAAUGCUUGCAUUAUUUUUUCUAAUACCUCCAACAAAAUCACCCCUAAGUGAUACAAAUUCGUUACUGAAGCAGUAUAGUUUUUUUCUCCAAAUUCCUACAAUCUUUAACAACUAUCAAUCAUUAUCUCCUGAUUAGAAGUCAUUCAUGACCUAAUUAUUACUCCCCUCUUUGCUACCCAAAUCAUUGGGUAAUUACUAUUUCUCCUAAAUUAGAAGGAGCAGACACCGAAAAUUACCAACCUAGUCUUACAUAGCAGUAGCUUCCAACGUCUCACAUAUUGUAUUUGAUUUCACCACUAAUUAAUUAUUGCCAAAUUAUUUAUCCCACGAUUAUGGGUCUAAUCAUUAUUCUAUAUUCCGUAUUUAUCAUUAUUAAUUGACCAAAAUAAAUGGAAAAGUCAUAGCAAAGGUUAGAUAAUACCUGAAGCCUAUUCUUCUUAAUUUCGCAAGCACCAAAGUUAGGCAGUAAAAGCCUAUUUUUCUUGUUCUCUAGCCGCCGUCAAUUUUUUGCUCCUACCCAGUUGCGUGUUUUCUUCUUUACUAGUUAAGGACACUAAUUGAAAGUUUGAAACUUAUAAGCCUAGGUCAAUCCCACGUUAUCGGCUAGUAAAUGGUGGGCUAGGCUUUACAAAUAAUUCAUCAAAGUCACUUACCUCAAAUUUUCAAAUUUACCCGCUAGCUACUUAUUUAAUACACUAACUUAUACAUUAUAAUAAAUUCUUUUCUACUAGCUUAGGCCUAAUAACUAUAAAAAAAUUAAUUUUUCAAUCCCACAAUUAAUAAGUAUAUCAAAAUAUUUUGGGUUUAUAGAUAUUAUACUGACUAAAACGUCAUGAUCUAACAUGAAGUAGAUUGGAAUAAUAUGUUUCGGUCAAUUUACAUGAGACCGACCAACCUUAGUUAAUACAUCAAUCUAAGUAACAAGUAUAUACCCGCAAAAUUUGUACCCUCUAUGAGGUCGUUUGGUAGCUGGUUAGAAGAAAAAUUAUUCAUGUAUUGAGAGCAACAUAGUUUAUACAAUAUUUGGUAGCCAUUAAUUAUUUUGUACAAAAUUUAUCAUAACUAAUACCAUAUUUGGUUGUCAUUUUACAAUUCUACAUAAAUAAUACAUGUUUAAGUUAUGAGUCAAUAUGUGUAUUAUUUUAUGCGGUGUAGAAGAUGGAAUAACUAAUACAUGUAUUAGUAAUACAAUAAUAAAAUAUUAAAAUGACAAAUUUACCCUAUCACUUUACACAAAGGCUUCCUUUGAUAGAUUGAUCUGUAUUAAACCCUUUGGAAAGCAAGCAUGGAGAUACUGAUGCCUCACUGUUAGACUCUUACUCUUCACAAUUUAUUAGAGACAAAAUCGGUAAAUAAGUAUUUUACUUAAAAAUUUAUAUAAUGUAUAUCAAUUUUUAAUACAACAAACCAAAUAUUCAAAAAUAAUAAUAAUUUAUAAGUAAUUAAUUCAUGUAUAACUAAUACUUACAUAACUAAUCCCUACAUUACUUAUUUCUCUGUAACUAUCGGCGAAAUAGAACCCUUUUUUAAUUUGCACGCUUAAGAAGCAUUAGUUAAAAGGCAUCAAGAAUCUAGGUUACACCCUAGCCAACAUGAAGUAAAUAGGGUAGGCAUCAAGAUUCAAGAGUUAAACAAGACGAAAGAAAUUGGUUAAACAUAUUAAUUAGCAUCUUACAACUAAUUUAAUGCGAGUCACAACUUAAAAAAUUAAUUUGUUAUAAUUUUUUUGUGUUAAUUUUAGUUUAAUAUUACAUUUGUUCCAGAAAGAAUGUAUUAUUUACUUAUUAGUCCAUUAGAAAAAGAAUAGCUUUCUAAAUUUAAUUUUAAAACAAUUGAAUGUGAACUUUCAAUUAUAUCUUCGAUUAGAGGGCGGAUCCAGGAUUUAGAUUCCGUGUGUUCAACUUUUAAACUUUUUAGAAUUGUACCCGUUGUAUUUUUAAAGUUAUGGGUUCAGACCGUAUACCACUUGUUGUAAUUUUAAUGAUUUUUUACACAUAAAUUUAUGUUCUGCGACGAAAGUACUAAGUUCAGAUAAACCCGACGGCCAUACUCUACAUCCGCCCCUAUCUUCGAUGCAGACUUUUAUAGACACACAAAUUUAACGACAUACAAGUAAAUAGUACCAAAGUGAAAAGAAGAAAGUGAAUCUCACUAAGGACCAGCCCUUUCUUGGAGGCUUUCUAGCAUUUGAGAUCAAUCAACUCAAUGGAAAAAAUUGUAAUAAGAAAUUUGACGGCUCCCCUUAUGUUUUGAAAAGAUAAUUUAGGGCUCCAUUUAUUUUAUUAUAGAAAAGGCUGAAUCUUUAACUGGUCAAGAGGCUUUCUAUUUAUGACCUAUAGUUAAAAUUGCAAUAAAAAAUCUGACGGUUUCCGCGUUGUGUUUAGAGAAUAUAAUUUAGGGCUCAAUUUUUUAUUAUUGUAGAAAAGGCUGAAUCUUCAACUGGUCAGAGACUUUCUAUUUACGACUUAUAGUUUUGACGUCUUUUAUUAGUUUAUGUACAUACACUGCAAUGCAAAAGUUUUCUUUUGGCCCUUGAUAUCUAAGUAAAGUGUACGUCCGCUGUCAAGUAUCCUUUUGUUUUGACUGGAAUAUUCGAUUUUUGACUAUUGUACAACACGAGAUUUCGUAAUUUUAUAAGGAACUAUUCGUACGGAACGUUGGGUUGCCAAAUUUUUCUAAACUGUUGAUUUUGACUGAAAAGGUUAAACUUCAACUACUCAAAUUCGAUGGUGCAUCACUCAGCAUCGGAGAUUCGACAAAGCUUCGGGUGGUCGAGUGUUUUAGUUAGGGUAGCACAAAUCGAACCGAAUAAUCGUACCAAAUCAAAAGUCAAAUUAAAUCGAUAAAAGAACACGAUUAAGUUUGGUUUGAUUAAGUUUGACAUUAAGUAAAAAAAUUCGAACCAAACCGAUAUAUAAAUUUAAAUUUUUAUAUAUACAUUUAAGACUUAAUAUAGAAUUUUCUUUAGAAAAAUAUCUAAAAAUAUUUGGGAUCUCUUAUGGGAUGUAAUAUUUAAAUUGAAUAUAAAGUGUUCCAUUUUUAUUUACUUUAAAUAUUGGAUUGUGUCUUCACUUUCUUAUCAAAUGUUAUUGAAAUGCGUCAAUCUCUUUGUUCUUCCAUGUAAAUUCUUAAAAGAAAAUUCGAAUCUGAAAUAGUAUUUUCAUAAUAUAAAUUUAAAUAGAACAUAUCAUUAUUUAGGUAUCAUAUUGAUUUUUUAUGUUUAUUAUAAAAUUCAGUUAAUUUUGAAAGCGUACAUCAACAAAAAAUUAUUUAAUAAAUCAUAUGUUUGUUUAUUUUUAAAAUUUUUACUAAACAUAUAUUUACUUAUCAAAACUUCAACAAAAUAAUAUUGAACUAAUAUUCAUGUAACAAAAAAAUCCCGAAAAAUCCGAAAAAAUCGAACCAAUCUAAAUCGAUAUAGAUGGUUUGGUUUGGUUUUGAUAAAAAUCGAACUAACCCAGCCCAUAUACACACAUAAUUUUAGUAUUAAAAAGAUACUACUUUUUUUAUAUUUAAAACAAAAGAGUACUAAUUAAAAAAUCAUUUACAACUUGUUUGGAUGGUUGUUACCUGUCGUAUUAUAAGAUAUUGUUACUUUAAAUAUAAUAUUUAUUUUCAUUAUUAAUUCGUCAUUACGUAACGACGAAAAUUGUCACUUUAUGGAAUGACCGAUUUGGUGUGGUCGCGUCGUUUCUUAUUUUUUUCUCUCAUCUUGCCCUUUUUUAUUAUUAAAGAAAAUUAUAUUUUAUUUUUUAUCCUACUUUUUUAUAUAUAAUAAGAUUACCUCUUACCUUACUUUUUCUUUAUAAUAUUGCAAGUUUAUUCUUCAUAUUGUUAGAACGACGGGAAACAAUACAAUAUAUCCAAAUAUUAUAUAAAUCAAGAUGAUAAAUUAUAAUACAAUAAUACUACGAUACAUUAUGAAACGAUACAUAACAACCAUCCAAACAAGCUGUUACAUAGAUACAUCCUCUAGCUUUAUUUAGAGAAAAAAACAAUUUUGCCUCUAACUGUUCGAGGGAAGACAUAUCCAUUUUAUAUAUUUAUUGUUUUUGCUUCAAAAGACUAUAUCAAUAAUAAAAGUAGCAUAUUUAUAUUAUUUGGCACUUUUCUAGUAUGCUUUGUCCCUUGUUAGUCAUGAACAUAGUGUUUCAUUGAAAGGGGAAUAUUCUUUUUUGGCUGAGAAGGGAAAUAUUAUAGGAGUAUAUAUUUAAGCAUCAUUACAAAGGAGGAUAUUCAAAAUGAUAACUCCUUUUGUUCCAUUUUAUAUUCAUUCUUUCAUUUUUACCUGUUAAAAAAAAUGAUACAUUAAAUAUUUGAAAUAACUUAACUAUAAACUUUCAUUUUACAUAAAUGACAAAUUUUUAUUGUCACAUAAAUAUUAUGGUAUCUUUGAGAUCACAAGUUCCAAAAUGUCUUCUAUAGUUUAGGAAAUAUCAAUUGUUUUCUUAUGCAAAAGUCGACAAUAUUACUUCUUUAACAAGACUCCGACACAAACAGCCUCAAUUUUAGUACUAUUUAUAUCUAUAAGAGAAAGUUUAAAAUUAUUUAUAUGAAAAUUGAAAACCUAACCAGAUACGCUUAAGUUUAAACUUGUAUCGUAUAAUUAACUUUUGUUUUAAAAUUAAAAAAUACUUAAUAACUACUCUCUCCGUUUCAAUUUAUGUGGACCUGUUUGACUGGGCACGGAGUUUAAGAAAAAAUGAAAACUUUUAGAAUUUGUGUUCCUAAACAAGUCAGAAAGGUGUUCAGAGUAUUUGUGUGGUUAUAAAAGUUUCUCAUUAAGGGUAGAAUUGAAUGUUUAAGCUACAUUGUUUUCAAAUUUAAAAAUGGGUCAUUCUUUUUUAAACGGACCAAAAAGAAAAUAGGUUCACAUAAACUGGAACGGAGGAAGUAUAUAACUAUACAUGUGCAUCAAUCAUCUUUUUGCUAAUAAGGAUACAUAUAUAUUAAAGUUUAAACAGUAAUAUUAUUACAAAGUGGAACCAUUUGUGGUACAGUAACGUGUGAAUGGUCCUUAUUGAAAGCAACUAAAAUAAAGGGUGGGGGAGACAUAAAAUAUAUUGGACUCCACUGCAAUUGUCCUUUAGAAAGAGUUAAGAGCAUGCCAUGUUUCGCCAGAUCCAGUAUAAGUCCGGUGUGGACAGUUGAUCAAGAAGGAGGUGAGGUAUAAAGAUUGUAUGUCGAUGUAGCGGAGAAGCCUUUAUGGGAAAAACCCAGGAUAGUGUAUCGUUACGGUUAAGGGAUUGGUGAAAGUAUGUAUUAUUGAUUAGGCGGAGGAUGUUGCAGGGCAAUUAAAAUGAGAUUGGAGAGAUAUUCCAUUGGCCUUGGGCGAGAAGAGUAUUAAUUGUGAGGGUAGAUUCUGAAUAAGUUAGUGGACCUUGGGUAAGACUUCGGAGAGAACAGUGGUUUGGUAGCCAAAUGUCAAUCCAUACAUUGAUGAGUGAUCCAUUACCUCCCUGCCAUUUGAUAGCUCGUGUGGAGAGGGAGUAGCCUUUAAUUGGGGAUUUUCAUAUGAAGGAAGCGUCGAUUUUGGAUGUAAGAGUGUUAUGGUGUACUGGUUGGUGCUGAUAUUUGGCUCUAAGGAUCUAUGCCCAGAGGGUGUAUAAAGUUUGGCGAAAGCGCCAAGCUAGUCCUGCAAGGAGUACCAUAUUUUUGCCUAUAGUUUUUUGAAUACCCAGGCCGCCUUGUUGUUUUGGCAGGGAAACUUGAUUCCAUUUGACUAAAUAUAGGCGUUGCUUUUCGGUAGUAGUACCCCAGAGGAAGUUCCGUUGUAUUUGAUCUAUAUGGUUGAUAAUAUUUUGAGGUAGAAGAUUAUUUUGCAUAAACAUAAGUUGGAAUUAGGCUAAAAUAGAUUGUAUAAGUGUUGUGCGACCUAGCAGGUUGAGAAAUUUUAUUUUCCAGUCUUGGAGGUGAUUGCGUAUUUGGUCAAGGAGGUAUUGGUAAUUUGCACUCUUUGGUUGGUGUGAGGUAAUGGGUAAACCUAGAUAUUUACCCAUAGUGGAGGUUGCACGUAUGCCAAAGAUAGCAGAGAUAUAUUGGCGAGUAUUGCGCGAGGUAUUGGGUAAGAAGAUAAUUUUUGAUUUAACAUAAGUAAUUUUUUGGCAAGCUAGAAUACCAAAGCGUUGGAGGAUGUAGUGAAUGGUAGAUGCAUUAUGGACAUCCGCUUUAGCAAAAAGAAUUAAAUCAUCGGCAAACAUGAGAUGAGAGAUUGUAGGACCAUUGCGAGAGAUCUUAAUGGGGUCCCACUUCUUGGUGUCGGUGGCAUGUAAGAUAAUUCGAGUAAGUGUUUCCAUACAUAUAAUGAAGAUAUAGGGAGAUAGGGGGUCACCAUGUCGGAUACCUCUUGUUGGGGAGAAGAAAGGUAUUGGUUUGCCGUUAACGAUAAUGGAGAUGGAAGAUGUAGAAAUGCAGUUCAGAAUGAGUCUAAUUAAGGAGGGUGAAAAAUUAAGGCUAGUGAAGGAAGAGUGGACGAAGGACCAUUCGAUGCGAUCAAAGGCUUUCUCAAGGUCAAUUUUGAUCAACAUAUGACUCGUAGUGCCUUUUUGUUUGUUGAAGGGGUGUACUGAUUCUUGCAAAAUGAUUGUAUUUCAAAUGGCGCGUCGCUCGGGAAUGAAACUAAUAUGGUAUGGGAUAAUUAAAGUGGAGGGGUAUGGGCAAAUAUGGUUGACAAUAAUUUUAAUAAUUAUUUUGUAGAUGGUGUUGCAGAGGCUGAUAGGGAUUGGGUAAUGCAUUUUGGUUUUUUACCUCUGGAAUUAAGGAAACAUAGGUUUGGUUAAGUUUUUUUUUUUUGGGAGGAGGGGAGAGGGGUAAUAGGGAGGUGUAAAAUAUAUCUGUGCAAAAUCUGAUGAUUGCUUCUUUGGUUUCAAGCCAGUAUUUUUGGAAGAAAAUCGGAUGAAAACCGUCUAGGCCUGGUGCCUUAAGUGGUUUUAAGGAGUAGAGCGCUUGUAGGAUUUCAGCUCCAGCUAAAGGCCGAUUGAUGAGGAAAGAAGCUUCUAGGGAAAGGGCCUGCGGUGCAUGAACCGCUGUUUGUUUUAGAGUUAGAAAAAGUUUAAUGGUGUAUGAAAGUGAGUGAUGAUGAGGGUUGUUAUUUGGACAAGAUUCAGGACCCAAUUACCCACCAUAUCGUGGAGAUAUGAGUUUUCCUACGACGGUGGACUGUACUAAAAUAAAAAUAUUUUGUAUUGGCAUCACCUCCGUGAAGGCUUUGGAUGCGCGAUUUAAGUUUCCAAGAGUCUUCUUUAUUUUUUAGAAGGAUAUUAAAUAGAUAAAUGACUGUAUGUUCUAAGUGUAAAUGGUAGUUAGUCUUAGAGUAUGGGUUCAUUUUUUGAAUUCCAUCAAUUCUUGAUUGGAGGAUGUUCAUUUGAUGAAAGAUAUUCCCAAAGUAAGAGUGUUUCCAACUUUUAAUCAGUUUAGUAAAAUGGGCAUAGGUAGGUAAAUAAUCAAUGGUAGUGGAUCAAAUAUUGUGUCCGAUACAUUAAAAAUCAGGAUGGGUGAGCCACGUGGUCUCAAAUUUAAAGCCCGUAAUGCUUCGUGAGGUUGCACGUGCAAGAUUAGUAGAAGGGGAAGUGGUCAGAGUGUGUGCGUGGUAGGAGUAAUACAGAUGAAUCUUGGAAGAGUCAUAGCCAAUCAGAGUUAGCUAAAAAUCUAUCAAGCCUCUCUAGAAUAAGUCUGUGUUGUAACUUGCAUUUAUUAGUCCAUGUGAAACGUGAACCACUGUAACCUGUCAUGCAUACCUAUACGUUGUAAGCAUUCCAGAAAAGCAUUUAUUCUGGUGUUAUUGACUUGGUUGCCUUCAAACUUUUCGGAUCCAGUGGUUACUUCAUUAAAAUUACCACAAAGUACCCAAGGGCCAGUAACAGUGUUAUGAAAAUGUUUAAGAUUAUCCCAUAGACGAAGUCUAUUUGUUAAAGAUGUACUCGCAUAUACAAUAUAAAAAAUCCACAUAGGAGAGGACAAACAUACUUUGAUGGUUGUAUGCAUUUCUUGAUCUGUAACAACAAGUGGGUCAACGUCUACCUCAUCUCCCUUCCACAUAACUACUAUGCCGCCUGAAAAACCUUGUGCCCUUACCUGUAGAAGACUAGUGAAGCCAAGUGUCCAUGAGAGGUUCAUGUUCAUAUAAGCGUGUUUCUUUGAGCGCCAAGACAGUAGGGUUAUUCCAUUAUAGUAUGACGUUGAUGUUACGCUUAAAAGUGGGAUUUUUGGCUCCCCUGCAAUUUCAUAAGAGAAAUGUCAUUUUAUUGUAUGGUCGAAUUCGCUCCGGGAGCUAGGGAUAUCGUAAGAUGUGUGGUCAUGAGGGGAAGGUUCUCCUCGUGGUCAUGUUUAGUUGAGCUGUAGGCUAGAGCAGGAUGUUUUCCUCCCCCCCUGGUGGUAGCGUCUGUAUAUUGUUCAGGAAUAUAACUACAGAUUGCUCCGGGAUAGUCAUCGGGAGAGCUCGUAUAUUCAGUGAGACUUCGUUGACUUCAUGGAUGCCUUACACAAAGAUCUUUUCUCUUGAUUUUUGAUUUUCUAAUAUAGUGAGAGUUAGAGGUCUUCAACUGAUAUGAUUCUGUUUGUUUCUCGUGGGUGUUUGGUAGCGGGGUAUCUGUCAUGCCCCGAAUGCGGGGAGCGCGACCGGCGCUCAACCGAGAUAACCCGAUCAAGCAAGCCUACUAGAUACUUUCUACCCGCACUUACCCAAGAAUAAAGUGAAGACAUAUUUCAUUAGACCAUGAGAAGAUCAUAUGAGAGACACUAAUUCAUUACCAUUAGUUACAUCAUUUAUAAGUCUCCAAAAUAUUACAUUACAUAUUCAUAGUUUAGAAGUGGAACAUGUGAUACAAAUACAACAUUCUAGUUUGACUUUUUCAACAUGAAUAUAUAACUCACACUAUGUCUACGGAGCCUCUAACGGAUAUAAAAGAGUACUGUGAUAGUUCCGGCAAUAAGGCUCUGGCUAUACCUCAAAACACUAUACAUAGAUGACAAAAGAUACAAGACCCCAAGAAGUAGCGGGGCUCAUCAAGUCAGUUGAGGAGAGGGUGUACUGCUAUCAAUGAUCAACGCCGCCUGUUGUGAAACCAACUGUAUCCAUUAAAGAUGCAUCGCCCCCGACAAAAGGGACGUUAGUACAUAUGGAAUAGUACUAGUAUGUAAGGCUAAACACCCUCUCUCAAUAGAACGAGUAAAAGUAUAAUGAGAAACAAUUAUAGGAUCAAAAUGAAAGCCUCAAAUAAUACCAAUGCAUCAAGUUAGGAGCAAGAUAAGUUUCCAAGUAAACUUUAAUGUUUUAGGUUGGGAGAUCUUUAGUACCGAUAUACCACCGUUACUUUAGCACGAUGUCUGAUCACGGUCCGAUCGGCUAGGCCAUCUCAUCCAAUGACAAUCACAAUCACCACUAUAUGCGGGCAUGGCAUCUAAUCUCGACCCGAUCGGCUAGGCCGUCUUACCACAAUGCCGUAUGGAUCGACAUCACCCUUCACUAGCAAUUAUCUCGUCCCAAUUAAGGGAAAUAAUCUCAGCACAUCAAUCUCAUCCUAUUUAAGGGGAAUAUUCUCAACAUAUCAGUACAGGGAUUUACCCCUCAAUCACUCCUAUACCGGCACGUGUAGUUUCGGAGUUAGGCCAUUUCAACCUACCCUUCCUCGGUGACUAACGAUACUCCCAAAAUUUUUAUUAUAAAAAAGGAUUUUCAGCUCAAUUCAUAGCCUUUUACACCUUUCAUUUCAUUGGCACUAGUGGCCACAAAUGCAAUAUCAUUCUUUGCACGUCGGCCAUAUUUCAUAUUUCAUGCUCACCCCUUCACUUUCAAAUAUGAUCAUGGGUUAUCAACACCAAGGCAUCUCUAAUCACGAUUUUUAGUACAUAUAUGAGAAAAUAAGAGUCUUAGGCGCAUUGAGUUUUCUUCCACAAUUUGGCAUAAUAACUUGCAAUUGAAACAUCAUUGAAUUCAUAAUAUUUUGAUACAUAACCCAUACUUUGAACACAUUCCCUAAGGAUAACAUAAUAUGAUAAGAGCAUUCAGAACAUAUUUUGAACAUAUAUCUUUCGACGCAAAGUUUAUUCGAAAUAGUUAAAUUUAUAUGGAAUAACUCGGAACAUGAGACAUAAGAGCUCGAGCCAAUCAUAAUUACAACUUACGAGGACAUCAUGGAUUCGAUUCUACAAGAGGAGUUUAUCCAACAUACCUCGCUUUGAGCUUUCCUUAAAUUACUGCAAUAUUCCAGAAAUCCUAGCAACUUUGAUCUAUUUAUAGACAUGAUAAAUUUGAAUCAUAAUUAGUAGGAUAAUCAUAGGUUCAGCUCACUUAACUAUUUUAUCAAGCAUUAGGUGUGUAUUAUGAUUUCAUGGUUCUCCUAUGGUGGAUUCCUUCAUCCCACAAUCCAAUAUUUACCCAUUUGAGCUCAACAACCUUCCCACAAACUUUGAUGGUACAUGCAUGCAUAAAUAACACUCUUAUACCUAAGAAUCACAGUCCCAAUUACCCAUCUCCUACCCCAAAUUCGAAAUGGAAAGCUAGAGGUAGAACCUUACCUCUUGGAUGAAGACCUUGUGAGUUUUCCUUGUUAAAUUUCAAAGCUUGGGCAAUGAUUGAUGAACAAAACACUUGGGGAUUCCUCCUCUCUCUAUAGAACACUCUAUUCUCUCUAAAAUGGCAGUUUAGACCAGCCAAAACAACCCUAAGGUGAAUUUUAUAAAAAUGGGAUCGAGUGAAAUUUUCCCAAACUUAAACUUACGAAACCGAGUUUGCGGUCGUAUACCGAACUGCAAAAUAAUUAUGCGGCACGCAAAAGGGAUCACAAAAAUGGUCCCAAAAAUUGGGUAGGUCUGGACAGGUCAGCGGCCGUUAUGCGGCUCGCAGAACGGUUAUGCUGUUGUAUAAUGCAUCGCGAAAUCUCCCUCCGAAAAUCUUCAUGAAUGUUCUGUGACGGAUUAUGGAGCCCAUGAAAUGAUUAUGCGGCCGCAUACUCGACCUCAAAUGAUCUUCAAAAAUUGGCUCAAGUUUUGUUGCAGUCUGCGGCUAAUCUGCGGUCCAUGAAAAGGUUAAGCGGUCGCAUAGUGGACCGCAGAAAUGCCAUGUUCUGCAAAAUAUUUCCUUCAUUUCCCCGAUGUACUGUACAACCUAAAAUGUUUGUACUCCUCAAAUAUAUUAGCCUACCUCGGCACCACAAAAUCUCGAGUUUUAGUAAACCUUUACGGGGCCUUACAUCCUCCCUCACUUAAGAUCAUUCGUCCUCGAAUGAGGGUCAAAGUUCACCAUUAGCAUCCAAUGUGACUCAACUGUUACUUCACACACCAACAGUUCCAAAUUUUGACUAACUCCCAAAUAUUUCAAAAGUUUCACUAGAGAUUCCCUUAUAACUAGGCUACCUGCAUGUGAGAGAAUCCUAGAACCAAUCCUAAUAGCAUAUACAUAACCCAACGACGUAAAAUAACCUGAAAACAACACCAACCGUGGCCUCAUAAGCAAUAUAUUUCUAGAAAGGAACACCCUUAACAUCAAUUAUACAAGUGGUACCUAAUUCAUAGAAGGUAAUCUCUUAACAUUUUCAUAGAACACAACUACUUAACUACAUAGCUAUUCAAACAAAUGAGGGUACUUCUUCUUCAUCUCUUCCUCGGCCUCCUAGGUGGCCUCUUCAACCUGCUAGUUUCGCCAUAGCACUUUCACGGAGGCAAUCUCUUUCUUUCUCAGCUUUCGGACCUGCCUAUCAAGAAUGGCAAUUGGAAUCUCCUCAUUAGUCAAUUUCUCAUUAACCUCAAUAGUCGCAAUUGGAACAAUGAGUGCCGAGUCUCCAACUACCUUCUUCAACAUAGACACAUGAAGCACCGGGUGUACUAAGGAAUAUUUGGAGGUAACCCAAGCCUGUAAGCCACCUGACCAAUCCUCUGAAUGAUUCUAUAUGGUCCAACAUACUUUAGACUCAAUUUCCCUUUCUUACCAAACCACAUUAUACCCUUCAUGGAGGAAACCUUUAAGAAUACCCAGUUAUCCUCUUUGAAUUCCAAAUCCUUGCGACGCACAUUCGAAUAGGACUUCUGACUACUAUGAGUAGUUUUCAACCAUUCCGUAAUGAUCUUAACCUUCUCCAUAGCCUGAUGCACGAGGUCUAGCCCUAUUAACUAUGCUUUCACUAUCUCAAACCAUACAAUGGGAGAUCUAUAUCUCCUACCAUAUAAAGCCCCAAACAGUGACAUCUGAAUGCUAACAUGGUAACUGUUGUUGUAGGCAAAUUCUAUGAGUGGCAAAUUAUUAUCCCAGCUACCCUUGAAGUCAAGAACACAAGCGUGCAACAUAUACUCAAGUGUUUGAAUAGUCUUCUCUGCUGCCCGUAGGUCUGUGGAUGAAAGGAUGUACUAAGAUUUACCUGAGUACCCAAACCUUGCUGAAAUUUCCUCCAAAAGUUAGCUGUGAAUUGUGCCCCUCGAUCUGAGAUGAUAGAAUCCGGAGUGCCAUGCAACCUGACUGUUUCCUUGAUAUACAACUAAGUAUACUGUUCCACUGUGUCGGUAGCCUUAAUAGGUAAGAAGUGUGCUAAUUUCCUUCUUCAAUCCACAAUCACCCAAAUCAAGUCGAACUUGCGAGGAGUGCGAGGGAGUCCUACCACAAAGUCCGUAUUGAUCAUAUCCCACUUCCACAUUAGAAGUUUUAUGUUUUGUGCCAACCAACCGGGCCUUUGGUGUUCGGCCUUCACUUACUGACAAUUUAGACAUCUUGCCACAAAGUCUGCUACAUUCCUCUUCAUAUCAUUUCAUAAGUAGACUUCCUUAAGAUCAUGAUACAUCUUUGUAGAGCCCGAGUGCAUGGAAUACCUAGAAUUGUGAGCCUCCGUCAUGAUUCUUUCCCGGAGACCAUCUUCAUUUGGAACACAUAAUCUCCCUUGGUACCUUAGUGUACCAUCAUCCAUGCCAAGAGAAAAAGCCAUGGCCUUAUGUUUAUGAAUCCCCUCCUUAAACUAUACCAAUAACAUAUUAUCAUAUUGCUUCUCCUUGACUUUCACAACAAGCGAUGAUUCAGCCCUAUUUUGUACAAUCACCCCUCUUUCACUAGAAUCUGCAAGACGAACUCCCAAACUAGCUAACCGAUGAACCUCCUUGGCUAGUGGCCUUUUAUAUGCCUCCAAAUGAGCCAAACUACCAAUAGAUUUCCGGCUAAGAUCAUCCGCCACAAUAUUAGCCUUCCUUGGAUGAUAUACAAUGUCAAUGCCGUAGUCACUGAGUAACUCAAGCCAUCUCUCUGCCUCAGGUUCAAUUUCUUUUGUUUGAAAAUAUAUUGAAGGCUCUUAUGGUCCGUGAAUAUAUCCACAUGGACCCCAUAUAAGCAAUGACGCCAAAUCUUCAAUGCAAAUACCACCGCCGCAAGUUCUAAGUCAUGUGUUGGAUAGUUCCUCUCAUAAUUCUUGAGUUGCCUAGAAGCAUAAGUGAUUACCUUGCCAUGUUGCAUUAAUACACACCCAAGUCUGAUCCUUGAAGCAUCACAAUACACCACAAAUCCAUCUGUACGCUCUGGUAGGGUCAACACCAUCACCGUAGUCAAUCUUGAUUUCAACUCUUGGAAGCUCUUUUCAUAAGCGUCUAACCAUUGGAACUUAACAGCCUUUUGCGUUAAUUUAGUCAACGGAGAGGAAAGAGUAGAGAACCCCUCCACAAACUUCCUGUAAUGCGCAGCUAAGCCUAAGAAACUACGAAUCUCUAUUAGAGUUGUAGGUCUAGGACAAUUCUUCAUUGCUGCAACCUUCUGAGGGUCAACCUUAAUUCCUUCUUUGGAGACAACAUAACCCAAGAAUGUGACGGAUUCAAGACAAAAUUCACACUUCGAAAACUUCGUAUACAACUUAUGCUGAUACAGAGUCUGCGGAACUGCCCUUAGAUGAUCGGCAUGGUCCUCUCAAAUUCGUGAAUAUACAAGAAUAUCAUCGAUGAACACUAUCACAAAGGAGUAAAGGAAAGGCUUGAAGACACGAUUCAUAAGAUCCAUGAAAGCUCCCGGGGCAUUUGUUAGCCCAAAAGACAUCACCAGAAACUCAAAGUGCCCAUACCAGGUCCUGAAAGUUGUUUUCGGAAUAUCCUGCUCCCUGAUCUUCAAUCGGUGAUACCCGAAUCUUAAAUCAAUUUUGUAGAAAUAACCCAUUAGGUGAACACCAUGAAAUUUGUCAAACAAGUAAUCUAUCCUUGGCAGUGGGUACUUAUUCUUGAUCGUGACCUUGUUGAGCUGCCGAUAGUCAAUGCACAUUUUCCAUGACUGAUCAACGUCCAAUCCACACUCAACAGUGAGUGGAAAUGGCCAUUGGAAGAAUAGUAUCCAACAAGAGUCGGGGUCGAUUUCCAUAGGGAGUUACUAUGGGUGUUAGAAGUAUACACUUGAUGAAAGCGUAUGGAAUGACUUAAUCGCACUUAUAUAAAACCCAUCUCGUAUAUAUAAAUAAAACUACAAUAUAAUAGUUCUGAUUACAUCAUUCUCGUGACGUUAACUACCCAACUGAUCAGUGAUAACUGCCUGACCGACCGUAGCGCGGUGGUAAAUGCAUGACUGCCCGACCUGCCGUAGCUCGGUGGUAAAUGUGUAACUGCCCAACCGGCCGUAGCUCGAUGGUAAAUGCAUGACUGCCCAACCGGCCAUAGCCCGGUGGUAAAUAUGUAUGCAUGUCUGCCCAACCGGCCGUAGCACGGUGGUAAAUGUACGAAGAUGCAUGUAUCACUAUAUUAUAAACAUUAACAUUAUGUUUACGUAUCGUUACUUGGAUCAUGCCAAAAGAAAGAAGGAUUAGCCUUAACAUACCUUUAAUGUCAACUUCCUUACUUGUAUUUGUGAACAAUCUCCUCAAUCUUGUAUGCCAAAACUAGUCUUCUUCCACCUUACUUCAUUACGAAGAAAUCUCCAAAUUUUUAUCAUCUUGAGGAAACGAUAUGGAAAUACACAUCUAUGUUCUUCACGGUUUGCUUUAAUGCAAAGAGAUAUAUCUACCUUUGUAGCUCAAAUUUCUCAAGGGCCAUUUCUAAUCUUGUUGAGAAGAAGAAAAUAAAUGUAUUUUUCUUGUUAAAAACGUUGCUUGUGAUAUAUAUGUCAUAAGUGUAUCAAAAAGUGAAUGAGUGGAUAGUGGGGUCCACCUUAUUUGCCACCAUUUUGAAAUAUUGUGACAUGUGGUAUAGAUGUCACUAUCUAACACAUAUUAGUUACACAUCAUUUUGGAAUGGGGGGAGGGGGGCUGCCACGUUAGGCCUUAUAGGCCUUAUCCAAACUUUUAAUUAAUCUCCCACUAAAAUCAUUAAUUAUCCAAUUAUUCACAUAAUUAAGAAUUAUCUCAAAUUACUUAAAAUACUACUCACUUUUAAUACACUUUAUAUAUCUUACUAUAAUAUACUUUACUAUCAUGGUCGUGUGGCAUAUUGUAUAGCACUAAUCCAUAAAUACGAGAUAUUAUAGCUUGGAUCGUAUUUUAUCACAAAAUGUCAAACUUCGGAGAUACUCAAUUUCUUCGAUUCGUUAACCCUCUGACCUUUAUAACAUUUACUUAUCACUUGUUACAAAUAGCGUAAAUGCUUAUAACCUCCAAAAUAAUCUCAUUCCCGAGUCUACGUCGAUUAACUUACGAAAAAACUUUAACGUACGAAAUACGGGAUGUAACAUCCUUCCCCCCUUAGAAACAUUCGCCCUCGAAUGUUUAAACUUGAAAUAUGUACAUAACAUACUCAUCAAUUAUAAAUGUAUAUAUCACCCCGGGCUAUACUUAUACUCCAAUGAAACAAAUAUUAGGCUCUCACGGGGUCAGGACGUCGUCCCUCCAUAAAACUACUUCUUAAUCCAUUCGUCGCCUACGAUUAUGUUAAUCUAUCUUCUAGGCACUGACAGCUACUAGUUGUAAUCUUAAUAACCGGGUUAACAACUUUCUAUUCCAUUAUACUAACUUUCCCAAAAUCUUGCGCACUAUAUGAUGUUUCCUCCCUUGGGCGUUAGAGCUAUCAGAGUACUAACUUCUUAAUGUCCUAGGUUACUCCCCUUUCCUCCCUUGGUCCACUAUCACCGGGUUCUUACUUUUCUUUCUAGCUAGCCUUGGUUUCCCCAACCCUUCAGACGUAAUGCCAACUCACUCUUAUAUUAAUCAUAUUAACUGGGCAAUUUGCGUUAAUAAGAUCGAACAUUACGCAUAGUCACAGUACCUGACACAUCAUUCGGUGUAGCCUCUGGUUCUUGAUGACCUGCCAAAGCAUAUAUGCGGUUCUGACUCCCGCCGAAGCUAGAUGCUCCACCCCUGCCUCUACCUCUACUAGUUGAUGCCUGAGGGCCUCGCUCUAGAGGGCGUACUGAAGAGGAGGAGACUGUUAUAGAUCUGGUGUGUUGAACCAUCCUGCUUCUGUCCUUCAUAGGACAAUCCCUCAUGUAAUGACUAGGGUCUCCACAGGUAUACCAUACGUUAGAUCCCAGACGACAUUGUCCAUAAUGAGCUCUACCGUAUUGACUGCAUCGCGGAGGAGGCGCCCUCAUCUGUGCUGAAUCCCUCUGAUUCUGAAAACCCAAAAUUCUCGAGCCCUGACCUGAUUCAAAAUAGACAGAUCCCUAGUAAUGCGGCCUCUGCAACUGUCGGACACUAUCAAUAGGAUAUGGUGGUAUAGGAUCGCCCGGAAAAUCCUCAGGUUGUCUAGCAGACCUAGCCUUCUUAUGCUGACCCUCAUCACGAUUCUCAUAUUUGAUCUUCCAAAUUCUGAUCAUAAGCCUGGAUGCGGGAAAUAUCCAUACUAUCGAGCAGAGCGGCCGUGAAACACUCAUUAAUCAGGUGCGGCCCAAGUCCUACAACAAACCGAUGCACUCGGUCACUCAUCUCAGCCACAAUAGAGGGGGCAUACCUCGCCAAGGAAUCAAACUGGAGACUAUACUGCCGCACACUUAUAUUCCCUUGUUUAAGAGCCAAGAACCUGUCUACCCUUGCCCGACGAAUCCCUGCUGGCAAGUAAUGAUGCAAGAAAGCUCCCGAGAACUCUUCCCAUACCGUUGGAGGUGCAUUUGUCCCUCUAGACAAUUCCCAAGUUUCAUACCACUGAACCGCAACUUCCCGCAAUCGGUAAGAGGCCAACUCUACUGACUCAGUGUCUAAUAUAUGCAUCACCCUCUAAGUCUUCUGCAUCCUAUCAAUAAAGUUUUGUGGGUCCUCAUCCUUGUUGGAACCGGUAAACACUGGAGGGUCCAGGUUGAUCAAGUCUCGAACUCUCGCGCUAGUAACCCUGUCAAUAUAACCAAUACCUGUACCUACAUGGCGCUGAGCCUGAGCGGCUACCAAUCUAGUCAACAAUCGUACUGUACUUCGUAUAUCCAUAUCCUCAUCAUGAAUAAUAAGUGGAGGUACUGGGUUCCUCCUCAUCUCCUCGGGUACUGGCGAAAUCGGAGAACUAUGCGAGGGUGUCAUAUUUCCCAUCGGGGCCUCACUCUGGCCUUCACUAGACAUUGGUACUCUACUCAUGCCUUCAUCUGCCACUGCUUUACCUUUCUGACUAGCUGUAGCUUUCCUGGUCAUAGGCAUCGCUAUAUAUAUAAAAAAAGUCAAAGGUCAAGGGCUUUAUUCCCUACGACUCUGCACUAUUUCAUGAUCUAAUAUCAAGAAGGAAGGGUAACCGAUCCCUAAAUGCCCUGUAGUUUCCUGUUUAUACAACGUGGUGCACAACACAUUUAUAAACAAGACUCUACUAGACACGACUUGUAGACAACCCUAGGAUAGAUCCGCUCUGAUACCAAGUUUGUCAUGACCCAAAUCGGAGGGCCACGAAUGGCACCCGGUGCCUACUCAAUCGAGCGCCACGUACCUUAUCCUUCUUUUACUAUAAGACUCAUCACGGCUCAUGAUAGGCCACAUCUAUAUAUAUAAUUAACAAUAUUAGAACUUACCUCACGUAACUAAUUCAAAAAGAUUUAUAUAGAUACAUAGGGGAUGACAAGGCCGUUGACAUGUCAUACCUAAAACUAUACAUAGAACACUGUCUACAAAACCUCUAAGAAAACAUGACCAUAAUAUAUAAGUCGGGACAGGGUUCCCGACAUCCUCAUAAAACAAAAUAACAUAUAUAGAACGUGAAUCGGCAAUACUCCAAGAAGAAGUGGAGCUCACCAACCAAAAGCUGAUAUCUGGAGGCAGUUUAUAGUAGAGGGUCCUCACCUCGCCUAUCUACACCUGUGUGGCAUGAAACACAGCGCCCCAGGAAAAGGGAUGUCAGUACGAAGAAUGUACCGAGUAUGUAAGGCAGAAAUAAAAUGUAAUAAUAAGAUACUAUCUCGGGGAGGGAUAAGAGUCAACUUAUAAAUUAUGACUUGCUGCUGAGGGCCAUAACAUAUAGAAUAAAACCCAUCUCGUAUAUAUAAAUAAAACUACAAUAUAAUAGUUCUGAUUACAUCAUUAUUGUGACGUUAACUACCCAACUGAUCAAUGGUAACUGACUGACCGGCCGUAGCACGGUGGUAAAUGUAUGACUGUCUGACAAUCCGUAGCUCGGUGGUAAAUGUAUAACUGCCCAACCAGUCGUAGCUCGGUGGUAAAUGUAUGACUGCCUGACCGGCCGUAGCUCGGUGGUAAAUGUGUAUGCAUGUCUGUCCAACCGGCCGUAGCAUGGAGGUAAAUGCAUGAAGAUGCAUGUAUCACUAUAUUAUAAACAUUAACAUUACAUUUACAUAUCGUUACUUGGAUCAUGCCAAAAGAAAGAAGGGUUAGCCUUAACAUGCAUUUACUGUCAACUUCCUUCUUGUAUAUGUGAACAAUCUCUUCAAUCUUGUAUGCAAAAACUAGUCUUCUUCCACCUUACUUCAUUAUGAAGAAAUCUCCAAAUUUUUAUCAUCUUGAGGAAACCGAUAUGGAAAUACACAUCUAUGUUCUUCACGGUUUUCUUUAAUGCAAAGAGAUAUAUCUACCUUUGUAGCUCAAAUUUCUCAAGGGCCGUUUCUAAUCUUGUCGAGAAGAAGCAAACAAAUGUAUUUUUCUUGUUAAAAACGCUGCUUGUGAUAUAUAUGUCAUAAGUGUAUCAAAAAGUGAAUGAGUGGAUAGUGGGGUCCACCUCAUUUGCCACCAUUUUGAAAUAUUGUGACAUGUGGUAUAGAUGUCACUAUCUAACACAUAUUAGUCACACAUUAUUUUGGAAUGGGGGGGGGGGGGUUGCUACGUUAGGCCUUGUAGGCCUUAUCCAAACUUUUAAUUAAUCUCCCACUAAAAUUAUUAAUUACCCAAUUAUCCACAUAAUUAAGAAUUAUCUCAAAUUACUUAAAAUACUACUCACUUUUAACACACUUUAUAUAUCUUACUAUAAUAUACUUUACUAUCAUGGUCGUGUGGUAUAUUGUAUAGCAAUAAUCCAUAAAUACGGGGUAUUGUAGCUUGGAUCGUAUUUUAUCACAAAAUGUCAAACUUCGGCGAUACUCAGUUUCUUCGAUUCGUUAACCCUCUGACCUUUAUAACACUUGCUUAUCACUUGUUACAAAUAUCGUAAAUGCUUAUAACCUCCAGAAUAAUCUCAUUCUUGAGUCUACGUCGAUUUACUUACGAUGAAACUUUAACGUACGAAAUGCGGGAUGUAACAAUAUAGUUCUAAUGUGACAUUUGAGCUUCAAGAAUUGACUUUACUCAUCUAGGACUCUUAUUCUAUCAUGUAGGUUAUGGUGGACUCCAAACUCUUCCUACUCUACUUGCCAUUUGCCAAGCUCACUUAAGAAAUUAGCAUUCAAUCUUAAGAUUCAUGAAAGGUUAACUCGUCUCUCACAAGAGAAUGUCACAAGUACAGCUUCAAGUACCCUAGACUUGCCCCUCAUGUAGAUCACCACUAAUGUAAGCUUACUCGGUUUGAAAUCAAGUAGGACUUCUUUCGGGUUGUAAUGAAGGCUUUUGGAUUAAGGUAGGAUACCAUAUGGGUAAAUGCUUACACCUUUCCUUAAGCACUCCACAUUUUCAUUUCUCGACUUACAAUUACCAAUUCUUAGAGACAUUUUCUUUUCAUUGGGGACUAGAGAGACUUGAUAUCAUUCUUUCUUGUUCAUUUCAUUAUUUUUCUCCCUUUUUGAUUGCUCAUGCUAGGGAUCAUUACCUCUUUUUGAAUCUAUCAACCCUUCCACUUAUUCACAUUUUGCAUUUUUCUCUUUGUUCUUUUCUUUUCUUGCCUUUCUUUUCAUAGAGAUAAUUUCUUUUCUCUUUUUGUGCCUUGAUACCUUUUUAAAAUUCCUCAUCUCUCCCCCAAACCUAUGUUUUAAGCCACUUAUUUCACAAGAGUGUUAAGGAAGGUCUGGGUGCCAAGAGAGGGUCACGACAAAAUGGGUAAAGGCUUAUAAUAUGGUUAUCAAAUGAAAAAGGCUAGCGACUCAAAGGGGUUGACUAGGGAUAACGACAUUGGUUAGCAAUAUAAAGCUCAAACGGGCCAAGGAAAGCCUACAAUCACCUCUCAAACCAAGCAAAGCUUAGGAUUUCGCCUUGAAACAUAUUCGAGGCAAGUUCUAGACCCUUCGCACGGACACUUGGACUAGCAACAAUUUAUUUCACCCCUCACGCAACUAGAUUGUAAAAGAGGAUUGAGUCGAGAGACUACAACGACCACUUUCAAGUUUAAAAAUCACUAUGGUCCAGUUAAACCACUCGAUGAUUACCAAAGUCAACUCAAGAGUCACAAAGUAACUAACUAUAGAUAUUUCUUUCAAAAACCUUAUCUCUAACCAUAAACAUGUAGUUAAGUGUGUUAGUAGCAAUUGAAGUAUGAUUAACUCUUCGAGAAUGACUUGAUUAGCUUUUUUUAUUCAUUACUACUACUAUUAUUACCUAAGCACAAAAAUGAACUCAUUCCCUUAAGAAGGUUGUCACGCCAUCCAUCGUUGGGACGAGUCACCCAGUUCACACAAUAACUACCUUUGGAAAGAACCGUGGCAUUGAGAAAACCAAAGGCUUAAUAUCUACUAAAGCAUAAAAAGAAUCUACUUAACAAAACAAGAACUAAUAUGAAAAAAAUAGAGAAGCUAAUAAGCAAAAACUACUAAAGAGAGAUGAAUAUACAUAAGAGAAGAGAGAUAAGCUAGAUAAAUGCAAAUAAGAAAAGAAAGAGUAUCAUCAAGUUAUUACAGACCAAAUGUAUCAAAGUGUACCAAUGUGUCAAAUGAACUCCACCCCCACCCCCCGAAUAAAAGUAAGCAUUAUUCCCAAUGAAUAGAAAAAUAAGAGUAAAAGUGGAGAGGGUGAAGAAAACUCCCUAAGGAUCCUUAGACAUAUUAGUGUCCCCAACAAUGUCAUCUCCCUCAGGGUCAACCGAGUGAAUCUCAUCAUCAUCAAAUCUAGGCGUGGUUGGGUUGUCAAACAUCAAAUGAACUGCCUCAGCAGUGUCGGCAAUAAGGUCUGGCUCGUCAGACUGGCUAACUGGUGCUACCGGUGCAGAUGGUACUGAAGGAUCUGGGGUAGAUUGGUGCUGGUCAAACAACAUAUCAAAAGGAAGAUCUCCAGCUGUAGCAAGUCUAGUCACAUCCCGAUAGAGCUUGUCCAUUGAUUUCUGGCUGACCUAGACUUCCUCAUCUUCUUUACUUCCUUUCCCAACUCCCCAAUAACUGGCCCGUGUUGUACCAAGGUGUCCAUGAUUGUCUUCUGAUUUUCCAAAAUUUUCUUCAAUGUCUCAUCAAUGUCAGAAGGAGCCCGCAGUGCCUGAUAAGUGGACUGCGCUGCAACAAUACUAGACAAGUUUGACAACUUAGAAGUAGUUGUCUGCAUCCAGUUGUUGAGACUCGCCAAUGUCUGGGAGACUCGCAGAGCAGAUAGGGGAACUGUGGGCAUGGGAAGUGGCUUUAGAGCAACUCUAGGGGUUGUGGUAGGAGCUGAAGAUGAUGGUGGAAGCAUAGCAGUGGCACUGGUAGAAGGCUCAACAGAUGUAGAUGAAAGAUCAACUACCUCAGAAGCUACCACUGUUGGGUCAUCAAACUCGCCUGUGGUGGUAGAAGUCUGGACUUUCUUCUUUGGGUUACUCGCAUCCAUCGGAGAAUACCAGUCGAAUGGAUUCUUCGGCGUUACCUUAGUGUCAAAAUCUCUCGGUUCUACCUUUGCAUCAUUAAGGUACUCUGUGAUAGUGUUAAGAUAAGGGUAGGCCGAGUUGUCCUGCCGUGCAAUCACUAAAAUGUUAGCCGAUAUCACGACACCCACAUUGAUUGGGUAACCAGCCAUAAUGGAAGCCUCAAGAACUGCCUGAGGGAUAGGAAGGUGAGUCUCAUUCUGGCAUUGAUCCAACCUGCUACGAAUAAAGGUCUGCCACCCUUUAGUCUCAAAGCUCAAAGUACUCCGCUGAAUGGGAACCCCAGCGGUAGUCCAUGGUGGUGGUGGCCCUGGUGAUGCUAGAAUCUCAGCCAACCAAGGUCGGACUUCCUCCUUCAGUGCGCACUUCUCCAGAUAUUCCUUUGGCUCAACAUCCUUGAAGCCCAAAUAUGCAUUUAGCGUAUGCUGAUCAAACCCACCUUGAGGUUGCAUAAUUUGGCCACGUUCAUCCCUUUCUUGAUAUGAGCAACAUUGGCAUAAAAUUCUCAGUAUACUUUUGCAUCCUCCACUCUCUCGGUGAACCACAUCCACCCAUUUCGUGCCCUGAACUGUCUCAAUAUAGUUGGGUUGUAUUUCUACAAAUCCUUUAAUAGAAACUAUCGUUCAAGAGUUAGCGACCUCACUGGCCACCACAUACAAAAUCUGGUGAAAGCGACCAAGCUGACAAAACGAUCCCCCCCAAACCUCUUUCUUCUUUGAUCUAUCAAGCCCUGUAGCUGUAGCAUCUCCCCCUCUACCAUCAUCGGGGUUGUCAUAUGUAACCUAUGCCUCAGGGACUGGUGUAGCUGAUGGCUCAGAAACCUGACUAGAACUCUCUGAUCUCUUGGAGUAGUUGUGAGAUAAAGAUGACUCGUCCCCGAUCUGGUAUCUCCCCUGCGGCCUCGACUGAGUGGCCGUCUUCUCCUCCUAAACAGAGGCUGAGUUGCCCUCUGACACCUCCCUAGAUGGUACAUAGGAGCUAGACUCGGAGAGGUCUACACCUCUCCCUCCGCCGACUGUUAUUUUCUUUUUGAUUGUCUUGGGCUGGCCAAGGGGCAAGGCAAUUUUGCCUCGACCCCAAGAAGAUUCACCUCUCCCCUCUGAAAUGUUGCCUUGACCUCUUGGUCGAACCAUUAUUUGUAUCAAGCAGAGGAGAUUGUUAGUUGUAAUUCAUUAUUCAAACACAUACAUGAGACAUGUAGGUAAGGGAGAAACAGUUGGAUACAGUGGAGUUAUGAAAUUGAUUCAUGCUUGUAGGAUAAGGCAUCUGCGACCCAUACAAUUUGACAUGCGGCCGCAGAUGGGAACUCGCGGUCCGCACAUUUCUGUUGUGCGGUCGCAGAAGGGAAGUGUGGUCCGCACAUUUGAGAUUUCGGGCGCACUUCUGAGUCCCAAAAUUGUGAACUCUCUGAUGAUAGAUAAAUGGUCAAUAUGCGGCCGCAAAGAGGAAAUCUGUAGUCCGCACAAUUUGACUUGUGGCCCACCUUGGAGUCUCAAAAGUGAAGACUCUCUAAUGACAGAGAAAGGCCUAAUUUGCGGCCGUAAGAGGAAAUCUGCCGUCCGCACAAUUUGACUUGUGGCCGCAGAUUCCUAGAUCACAUAAGUUGCUAAAAAUCCAUAUCUGUGUACCGCACAAUUUAAGUGAGGCCGCAGAAUUCAAACAAUUAUGAAAUACAACUUUUUUAUUCAAAGAUUUUUUAAUUUCUUGGACAAAUAGGCAUGACAAUAUUGUAAAAACAUGAAAUUUUACUAACCCAAUCCCCGUAGAUCAUGUAUCAAGUUAACCUAGUUUAGAUCUACCCCACAUGGACACACAAUGGAACUCUAAUAACAGAUACCCUAAAAAGAACUAAAAAAACCUACAAAUUAAACUAACAUAAAAAUUAACCUGAAAUUGAAGCAUACCGGAUAGAGCGAAUGCACUGAGUGAGUAAUCUAGUUGGCUGUGUGUGUGGAUAGUUGAAAUCUCCAAGAAAACUUAGCAGUGCAACAGUGUUUUGUUCAAAGUGGGAAAAAGGUAAAAUGAGCCCUACUGUUCUCUUUAACCCGGGAGCUUCAUCACAGAAUUUCAUCUGUGAUCCGCACAGUUUCUUGUGCGGUUGCAGAUCGACCUCCCCCCUGACAAGAUUAAACUUUAGAUAGUUGAUAUUUUUGAAAUUUCAACUGUGCAGCCCGCAAGAGAAAUGUGCGGCCGCAAUGCUCAUCUGCUAUGGCAUAUAAAAAUGUGUGGUCCGCACAAAUAAACUGCGAUCUGCACUCUCUUGAACACUUAGCCAUAUUUUCGUCCACAAUUCUUGUAAGUCACACUCAUCCGUGUAGCACACUUCAAAUCAAGUUAGAACAUAAGUAACACCUAACUACAAAGAAAAAGGAAAAAAAACAUGGGUUGCCUCCCAAGAAGCGCCCGAUUUAACGUCAAGGCACGAUGCAGAAUACCCUCAAGUGAAAUGAAUGACCGGCACAAUGUGGCUAUCUCCAACCUUUCCUAGGUAGUGCUUUACCCGAUGACCAUUGACUCGGAAUACUUCAUUAUUUUUGUUCUUCAAGUCUAAUGCACCAAAAGGUGUCACACCCACAAUUUCAAAAGGACCACUCCACUUGGAUUUUAGCUUCCUGGGAAACAUCCUCAACCUUGAGUUAAAUAACAAUACAAGAUCGCCCACCUUGAACUCUUUGUUCCAAAUAUAUUUAUCAUGAAUAUAUUUCAUCUUUUCUUUUUACAAGGAUGAACUCGCAUAAGCAUAGUACCAGAACUCAUCCAAUUCAUUCAAAUGUGAUACCCUUAAGUUAGCAGCUACAUCCCAAUCAAGAUUCAACUUCUUUAGAGCCCACAUGACCUUGUGCUCUAGUUCCACCAGAAGAUGACAAUCUUUCCCAAACACCAACCGGUAUGACGACAUUCCAAUAGGUGUUUUGUAAGCCGUUCGAUAAGCCCAUAAUGUAUCAUCAAGCUUCUUCGACCAAUCCAUCCGAUUAACAUUCACUAUUUUGGACAAGAUACUCUUUAUCUCCCGGUUGGAGACUUCCACUUGCCCAUUAGCUUGUGGGUGGUAGGGAGUCGUGAUUUGUGAAUAACACCAUGCUUUCUAAGUAAAGUGUCGAAAAUCUUGUUGCAAAAGUGUGACCCCCCAUCGCUUAUNNNNNNNNNNNNNNNNNNNNNNNNNNNNNNNNNNNNNNNNNNNNNNNNNNNNNNNNNNNNNNNNNNNNNNNNNNNNNNNNNNNNNNNNNNNNNNNNNNNNNNNNNNNNNNNNNNNNNNNNNNNNNNNNNNNNNNNNNNNNNNNNNNNNNNNNNNNNNNNNNNNNNNNNNNNNNNNNNNNNNNNNNNNNNNNNNNNNNNNNNNNNNNNNNNNNNNNNNNNNNNNNNNNNNNNNNNNNNNNNNNNNNNNNNNNNNNNNNNNNNNNNNNNNNNNNNNNNNNNNNNNNNNNNNNNNNNNNNNNNNNNNNNNNNNNNNNNNNNNNNNNNNNNNNNNNNNNNNNNNNNNNNNNNNNNNNNNNNNNNNNNNNNNNNNNNNNNNNNNNNNNNNNNNNNNNNNNNNNNNNNNNNNNNNNNNNNNNNNNNNNNNNNNNNNNNNNNNNNNNNNNNNNNNNNNNNNNNNNNNNNNNNNNNNNNNNNNNNNNNNNNNNNNNNNNNNNNNNNNNNNNNNNNNNNNNNNNNNNNNNNNNNNNNNNNNNNNNNNNNNNNNNNNNNNNNNNNNNNNNNNNNNNNNNNNNNNNNNNNNNNNNNNNNNNNNNNNNNNNNNNNNNNNNNNNNNNNNNNNNNNNNNNNNNNNNNNNNNNNNNNNNNNNNNNNNNNNNNNNNNNNNNNNNNUUGACAUUCAUCACAUCUUUUCACUAACUCACUAACAUCUUUGUAAAGAGUAGUCCAAUAGAAACCGCAACUAAGCACUUUGGCCAUCAUUCUUGCUCCACCAUGCUGACCACCAUAUGGCGAAGAAUGACAAGCCCCAAGAAUUUCAACGUGCACUUGUUCCGGUACACAUCUUCUAAUCACCCCAUCCGUGCAAAUCUAGAAAAGGUAUGGUUCAUUCCAAUAAUAGUCUUGACAAUCCUGUUUAAGCUUCUUCCUUUGGCUUGAGGAGAACUCAUCCGGAAUGAUUCCACACACAAGAAAAUUUGCUAAAUUCGCGAACCAUGGUACCUCUUUUAUUGAAAUUGCCAAGAGUUGCUCAUCGGAGAAAGAGUCAUUGAUCUCAAGGACAUCAUGAGGCCUCCCCUCCUCCUCCAAAUGAGACAAGUGGUCCGUUGCUUGAUUUUUACUACCUUUUCUAUCUUGGAUGUCAAUAUUAUAUUCUUGUAACAAGAGAACCCAUCUCUUCAACUAAGCUUUGGAGUCCUAUUUGCUCAUAAGAUAACGAAGCGCCGCAUGAUCCAUGUGGACAAUAACUUUUGCACCCAUCAGUACUGGGGGAACUUUUCAAUUGCAAACACAAUAGCAAAGAGCUCUUUCUCUGUAACGAUAUAGUUGACUUAGGAAUUAUUCAUGGUCUUACUAGCAUAGUAGACCAGAUGAAAAAUCUUGUUGAUGGGAUGCCCCAAAACAACCCCAACCACUACGUCACUUGCAUUACACAUGAGUUCAAACGGCAUACUCCAAUUUGGAGCGGUGAUGAUGGAAGUAGUUGUCAACUUGAGCUUCAACAAUUCAAAAGCUAUCAUGCAGUCAUCAUUGAUAUUAAACUUAGCAUCCUUCUCAAGAAGCUUGUACAAGGGGUUCACAACCUUAGAGAAGUCUUUGAUGAAGCGUCGGUAAAAACCCACAUGGCCUAAGAAACUCCGCACACCCUUUACCGAAGUAGGGGUGGAAGCUUAGAAAUCACCUCAAUCUUUGGAUUGUCAACUUCAAUUCCACUCCUUGAGAUUUUGUGGCCAAGGACAAUACCUUCAUCGACCAUGAAAUGGCAUUUCUCCCAAUUAAGCACCAAAUUUGUUUCUUCACAUCUAGCCAACACAUUGUCCAAAUUUGCAAGACAAUCAUCAAAAGAAUCUCCAACCACCGAGAAGUCAUUCAUGAAAACUUCAAGGUAGUCCUCCACCAUAUCCGUGAAAAUAGCCAUCAUACACCUUUGAAAAGUCGUCUGUGCAUUGCACAAACCAAAUGGCAUCCGCUUGAAAGCAAAAGUGCCAUAGGGACAUGUAAAGGUUAUUUUCUCUUGAUUAUCCAGAGCAAUGAGAAUUUGGUUGUAGCCCGAUUAUCCAUCAAGAAAGCAAUAGAAAACAUGACCGGCCAAUCUAUCAAGCAUUUGAUCUAAGAAAGAAAGUGGAAAGUGAUCCUUCCUUGUGACUUUGUUGAGCUUGCGAUAGUCCAUACACACCCUCCAACCGGUCACCGUUCUAGUGGGAAUCAACUCAUUCUUUUCAUUGGUGACCACCGUCAUGCCCCCUUCUUUGGGACACAUUGAACCGUAGAAGUCCAUGAACUAUCAGAGAUGGGGUAGACAACCUCGAUAUCCAACCACUUGAUAAUCUCCUUCUUGACAACUUCUUGCAUAACCUCAUUGAGUUUCCUUUAAUGUUCAAUAGAUGGUUUGGUUCCAUCCUCCAAGUUGAUCUUAUGCAUGCAAAAGGCGGGGCUUAUCCCCCAAAUAUCUGCCAAGGUCCACCCAAUAGCCUUCUUCCUCUUUUGUAGCAUUGCCAAUGUGGAAUCUACCUGUACGUUAGUCAAAUAAGAGGAAAGAAUAACCGGUAAAGUAGAACAAGGACCAAGAAAUUCUUACCGAAGAUGUGGAGGAAAUGGCUUCAUCUCCAAGGUAGGAGGCUCUUCAAUAGAAGGCUUUGUAGGAGGAGUUGUCCUAUUUUCAAGAACCAAGGACAAUUUUCAGGGUGCAUAGUUGUAUGACCCCAUUCCUUGCAAAGAGUUUACACAUUCCAUGAAGACAUCCAUCUCGUCAUCAUAAAAGUUGAGCAAGGAGGCCUCCAACUUCUCACCAACAUUGAUUGUAGCACUUGUUUCAUCAAUAAUAACAUCGGUCACCAAGUCCACAAAAGAACACACCUCAUUGCUAUUUGGUUGCCGCAUGGACAUACACACAUGGAAUACCACGUUUUCAUCACCAACCCAGAAAGUGAGUUCUACGGCUUCAAUAUCACAAAGACCCUUACUCGUAGCAAGGAAAGGUCUCCCAAGAAUAAUCGGCACUUCACAAUCAACCUCAUAGUGUAGAAUGACAAAAUCCGCCAGAAGAAUGAAUUUAUCAACACGAACUAAAACAUCUUAAAUCACUCCCAAGGGCCUCUUCAUAGUAUAAUCGAAAAUUUAUUAUCUCAUAGAGGUGGGUAUUGGUUUCCCAAUUCCCAAAGUCUUGAAAAUCGAAUAAGGCAUCAAAUUGAUACUUGCCCCAAGAUCACAAAGAGCCUUAGCAAACUCGGCACUUUCAAUUGUACAAGGCAUUAUGAAAUCACCGGGUUCCUCCAACUUAGGAGCCAUUGAAUGUAUAAUUGCACUCACUUGAUGAGUGACUUUUAUGGUCUCAAAAUUCAUUGACCACUUUUUUGUCACAAGAUCCUUCAUAAACUCUGCAUAACCGGGUAUUUGUUCUAAAGCUUCAACUAAUGGCACAUUGAUUGAGAGACUCUUCAUCAUUUGAAUGAACUUCUUGAAUUGAUUCCCACCAUUUUGAUUGGCAAGUUUUUGAGGGUAUGAAGGUGGAGGCUUAGGCAAUGGUGCCUUAGCCUUUUGCACUAUCGGCUCCGGUAUGUCAAUAAUGUGUUCCCUAGAUGGGUUUACCUUCUCUUGAGUUUCUACCACACUAUCAUCAAUAUAAAUCCGAACUUCAUCAUUACGAUACACCAUAUUGUUCGGGAUCUCUUCUUCUUACAUCACUUGAUCAUCAUCAAAUAGUUGCCUUUCAUUUAAGGUGGCUGCUUUCCCGCCUCUUUCACUUCUUGUGAUUACUGACAUGGCAUGCCCUAUGUUGUUACCACCUUUUGGGUUUACCACCGUGUCACUUGGUAGUGCCCCCUUAGGACGAGAAUUUAGAGCUUGAGAGAUUUGUCCCAUUUGAAUUUCUAGGUUGCGGAUUGAUGUGUUGUGUGAGGCAAGUUGGGGAUCCGAAUCGGCAUUCUUUUCCAUCAUUUGCUUGAACAUAUUUUCAAUAUGCCCCAUCUCAUUAUUUGAAGAACUCGAACCAUGGGAAGAUUAAGGAGGUGGGUUGCUUGGUUGAUGGUACAUUGGGGUCCUUUGAAAACCCGACCCCGGUUGCCUUGAUUGUUGCUCCAUCCGCCUUGAUUGUUACCUCCCCAAUUUCCUUGGUUGUUUCCACUCCAAUUUCCUUGAUUGUUGUUGUUAUGCCAAUUGCUUUGAUUUUUUUGUGGUCUCCAUUAUUGUUGGUUUGGGCCUUGGAAGUUAUUUCUUUGCCUUUGAAAAUUAUUCACAUAUUGCAAUUCCUCUUCUUGUUCAUUAUAGGAAUCAUCUUGCUCAAAACUACCAUAUUCUUGCCCAUAGUUCUCCACUCGAUAUUGCACUCCUUACAUUACAAUGACUUGCUUAGGAGUUUGCACUUGAUUUAGUUGGGCCUUUGCUAGUUGAGUCGUGGUAGUUGUUAAUUCGGCAAUUGCUUGUCCAUGGUUUUGCAAUUCUUUGUGAAUGUGGAUCAUAUUCGGGUCGCCUCAUGGAACAUUGGGCCGGGAAUGCCAAGACGACGACGUGUCUGCCAUCUCAUCCAAAAUCUCACACGCCUCCGCAUAAGGCGUAGUCAUAGAGUUCCCACCGACUAGUUGAUUCACUACACAUUGGUUAGUUGUGUUAAUCCCAUGAUAGAAGGUUUGUUGAAUCAUGUUUUCCGUCAUAUCAUUGUUGGGACAUUCCUUGACCAUAGUUCUAUAGUGCUCCCAUAUCUCGUGUAGUGGUUCAUUCAGCUCUUGUAUGAAUGCUAAGAUCUCAUCUCGAAGUGUAGACAUGUGUCUGGGAGAGAAAAACCUAGCAAUGAACUUUUCCGUUAACUCAUCUCAAGUGUGAAUUGAAUGGUUCAACAAUUAUUUCAACCAAUCUAAAGCUUUUCCCUUAGAGAGAAGGGGAAAAGCCUUAGCCUCAAUGCAUCCUCGGAGACAUUUGUUUGCUUGCUCCCCCAACAAGUGUCCACAAACCCCUUCAAAUGUUUAUAAGCAUUUUGUGUUGAAGCACCAAUGAAGAAACCCCGUUGCUCAAGCAAAGUGACCAUCACAUUGGUAGUUUGGAAGUUGCCCGCCCUAAUACGGGGAGGGACUAUUGCACUAGUAUAACCUUCGUUGGGCAAUAUCUGGUGUGGAGCCGCUCGUGGUGGAGGUGGGGGUGGAAUGAUCACAUUGUCAUGAGGUACCCAACCUCUCCGAUUGGCUUGUGGCUCAUGAGGUACCUCCUCUACUUGCUCCUCAUCCGCAUCCAAAUCCCCCAAAGGCAAUUUUUCGAGCUCAUUAUUCGCCAAGGUUGUACCUAAGAUUUCUCACACAAGUUAGUAACAUGGAAGGAAAAGAAGAUAUUCUAAAAACAAACCUAAAUAUAUAGCUAACACAGUUUUAAAUCCCCGGCAACGGUGCCAAAAAUUGAUCCAUGUCUAAUCCACUCUCAAUAGUGAAUGGAAAUGGUCGUUGAAAGAAUAGUACCCAACAAGAGUAGAGUUCGAUUUCCACAAGGAGUUACUAUGGGUGUUAGGCGUAUACACUUGACGAAAGCAAAUGGAAUAAUUUAAUUGCACUUCCAGCAAAAGGUUUUGAUUUCUAAUUCUAAUUUUACUCUAGCAAUUAUAAGCUAAGAAAAGAAACUAGAAGCGAAUGAUUGUUUUUGGUAUUUUUUCAAAUAGUUAAAAAGCCUAGGAAUGUGACCAUAAGCUAGGUGUUCCCCUAAUGGGUUAGAUAUGUUAGCACUUGUUUUGUUGAUUGGGGUAUAUUAUAGCUCUCAACUCUACGUUACCCACUCAAUACCUCUCGGCCAAAGAGUAAUUUUGUCCAAUUUGGUUUUUUCAACCCCAAAUGGGUAUCAAACUAAAUAGUUGAUAUGAGCUCAAGUCGGGUUUUUAAUAUCUCUAGUUUGAACCCUUUAAUUAGGCAAAUCAAACCCUCAAUUUGCCUAAUUCCUUAUUAGCCAAGUUAUUUUAGACUAGGUCCCUCUUUCUAAGUAGAGACCAAGUCAACAAGGCAUGAGUCAAUAUUUGCAACCAUUAAUUCUAAAAUUGAAGCAUAAACUAAGAUAAAUAAUCAACACCCAAUCAUAAAUAAGCAUUAAAUAAAAUAUCCAUAAGAUUUACACACUAGGGUUGGGUCACAACCCUAGUAAGAAUGUAGCUACUCAUAGUGAGAAAUGAAGAAAACAAAGAAGAAACGCUAACUAAACUUAUAAUCUAAGAUUAAAAUGAUAAAAUAUGAUGUUUGAGACCUAAAAUAAUCACAAAAUUCUAAAAUGGCAAAAUAUAACAGUUACAGUAGCUCAAACUUCGAAACUUGACCUAAAAAUAUGAAACUCGUCUAUUUAUAGCGGCCCAAAGUUCGCUGACAAAAAUGCCCCUCGAGAGGUUUUGCGGCUGCACAAUUCCAUGUGCGGUCCGCAGAUUGCUUCAGCUAGCAGGGUCUUGGAUUCUACAGCCGCACAAUUCUGGACAGCGGCUGCGGUCCGCACUUCAGCAAGGCUUCAGGUCUUGGUCUUUUGCACACUCUCUAAACUAUGAAUCAUUUGGCAGUGCAGACCUUAUUCUCUAACCGCACAAUUCAUGUGCGAUACGCACAUUGGCUAAAGCUCUACUAGGCUAUUUUACUUGAUCUACGGUCACAAAUGGAAUUCUGUUGUCCACACUUUCUUCUGCAGCCAUAGAAAUCCUUCUACGGACCGCAUUUCUUGAGUUUUGUGCCCCUUCUUGCCUUGUGAGUCGGAACACUCCUUUUUGAGUCGGAUUUUAUCAUGGGAGCUCAAGCUUCCAACAUUCUUGAAAUUUGCACACUUUCAUUAGUUUCAGGAACAUAAAUAAUUACUUUCGGACUAAAACAAAAACAAAAAGGUGCUAAUAAGUACUCAAAGAGAAUCGGUGCACCCCAAGGCGACACACUCGGCAUGAUGAAACCCUUUUCUAACAAAUCCUUCAAUUGUUCCUUUAGUUCCUUCAAUAUUACCUGUGCCAUUUUGUAGGGUGGAAUAGAUAUAGGCUACAUGCCUGCCAUCACAUCAAUCCCAAAACCAAUUUCCCUAUCUGGUGGGAUCCUAGGGAGCUCAUAAGGAAAGACCUCCGAAAAUUUAUUCACAACUGGUACAGACUUAAGUGUAGGUGUCUCAACAUGGGUAUCAGUAACCCGAACCAAAUGGUAAAUACACCCCUUGUUGGUUAUCUUCGUGGCCUUCAGGUAAGAAAUAAACCUACCCUUCGGCACCACAUCAUUCCCCUUCCUCUCAAUAACUGGAUCAUUUGGAAAUUCAAAUCCAACGGUUCUGGUUCGGCAAUCAAGCUUAGCAAAACAUGAAUAAAGCCAGUCCAUCCCCAUUAUUACAUCAAAAUCAACCAUCCCCAAUUCAAUGAGAUUGGCCAUGGUGUCCCAACCAUGCAUCGUGAUAACACAAUCCCUAUAAACCCGCGCGACCACAAUAGAUUCACCAAUCAGAGUAGAUACGAAGAACGGCUCAUGAAGCUGUUCCGGUUCUAUCCCAAAUUCCAUAGCAAUAUAGGGAUUGACAUAGGACAAAGUGGAACCAGGAUCAAUAAUAGCAUAUGCAUCAUGUGAUUGGACAGUCAAUAUACCUGUGACAACAUCUAGAGAAGCCUCUGAACUCUGGCGACCCCUCAUAGCAUACAAACAGAUGAAUCCUCUCGAACUCUGUGCACCACCCCUAGCUGUACCACACCCUGCGGGUGUUGGAGUGCCUCGAACUGGAGGAGGCACUGCGGAUGUAGUAGCUGUAGAACUGGCUGGUUGUGCCAUACCCCUGCCCCCACUCUGGCGGGACGAAUGAUAAUCCCUCUGAAUGUGACCCAUCAUACCACACCUGUAGCAUAUGGGUAGGUCCAUGUACCAGACCCCUAAGUGCAUCUUCCCACACCUAGGGCAUGGGGGCCUCCGCUGCUGCUGGAAUCUCCCACCAGACCGACCCUGCUGGUAGGAUCCCUUGUUGCCCUGACCGGGCCUGAAAUAACUCCAGUGCUGCUGAUUAGGCCCUGAUGGCUAUGCACUGACUGAAGACUGAGCAAAGGACUGGGAUGGACCUGAUGACCCUCCCCCAAAUGCCGCCCUACCACCACCACCACCAGAAGAAUCACCAAAGUUGCCCGCGGACCGUACCUUAUUUCUACCCUCUCGCUCCAUUCUAUUCAUCAAUUUGUGGGUCUCUGUGGCUUGAGCAAAUGCCACCAUCUUUCCAUAGUUCAUAUUAGAGUUCAAGGCAGCUGUAACAACCUCAUUAAUAACCAAGGGGCUGAGGCCCUACACAAACUGACGCACUUUGGCCUCCAAAGUGGGCAACAUGUAAAUAACAUACUUGGACAGGCACGCGAAUCUUAUAUGGUACUCCCACACACUCAAGAUACCUUACCUCAGUCUUUCAAACUCAGCGAAAAAAGCAUCGGUAAACUCACUCCACCUCGGUGGAGGGCUCCCCUACUCACGGGACUCCUCCCACAACUCAAACCAAGAAUAUGCCACCUCUUUCAGGUGGUAGGAAGCCAACUCCAUUGCUUCUGUCUCAAUUGCACGCAUAACUUGGAGAGUCUUGUGCAUCUUAUCAAUGAAGUCCUAAGGGCCCUUCUCGGGAUUAGUACCCGUGAACACUGGAGGAUCUAACUGAAGAAACAUGUUCACCCUGGAACUAGUAGAAUCCCCUAGCUGACUGGAAGAAUAGGUGCAACACUCGAUCUUUGGGCCUGGGAAGCCACUAUCUACGCCAACAUCUGUAUGGCUCCCCUAAGGUCCCCAUCAGAAACACUAGGACAGGAAGCUGAGGUUGGAGGUGAAACUGGAAUAUCAGCUGGAGGAAUCGUUGCACCCUCAGUAGGAGUAGGGAUUGGUGUAGUCUGAGCAGGAGUAGUAGAAUCAGGCGGUGUAGUAGUUGGGGGAAUAUCCUCACUCCUCGGGUGCUCACCCGCAUCAUCAGUUUUAGAAUCAACUGCCACUCCUGGGGGUAGUAUUGGCUCUUUGUCCAGUUCUUGUUUUCUUCCUAGGUGCCAUGUACUGAAAAUUAGAGCAAUGCACGAGUUAAAGGAGGACAAUCUUACAAUCAGCUCUAUCGCAUGACCUAGAUUAUCAAAGAAGGGUGUUAUUCCUAAAUGCCUAAGUAGCCUCCUAAUUAUAUAUGUGGUCGACAACACACUGAUAAGAAGGACUCUACAAGACUGGCUCCGAGACAUCCUAGGACACUUUAAAACAUUUGGCUCUGAUAUCAAGUUUGUCAUUCCCUGACCUCGGGGAAUGCGACCGACACUCAACUGAGAUAACCCGGUCAAGCAAGCCUACUAGAUACUUUCUACCCGUACUCACUCAAGAAUAAAGUGAAGAUAUAUUUCAUUAGACCAUGAGAAGAUCAUGUGAGAGACACCAAUUCAUUACUAUUAGUUACAUCAUUUAUAAUUCUCUAAAAUAUUACAUUACACAUUCAUAGUUUAGAAGUAGAACAAGUGAUACAAAUACAACAUUCUAGUUUGACUUUCCCAACACUAAUAUACAACCCACACUACGUCUACAGAGCCUCUAACGGAUACAAAAGAAUACUGUGAUAGUGACGGCAACAAGGCUCUGGCUAUACCUUAAAACACUAUACAUAGAUGACAAAAGAUACAAGACUCCGAGAAGAAGCGGGGCUCACCAAGUCAGCUGAGGAGAGGGUGUACUGCUAUCACUGAUCAAUGCCAUCUGCUAUGGAACUACCUGCAUCCAUUAAAGAUGUUGCGCCCCCGACAAAAAGGACAUUAGUACAUAUGGAAUAGUACUAGUAUGUAAGGCUAAACACCUUCUCAAUAAAACAAGUAACAAUACAAUUAUAAACAAUUAUAGGAUAAAAAUGAAAGCCUCAAAUAAUACCAAUGCAUCAAGUUAAGUGCAAGAUAAGUUUCCAAGUAAACUUCAAUGUUUAAGGUUGGGAGAUCUUUAGUACCGAUAUACCACUGUGAUGUUAGCACGGUGUUCUAUGACGGACCAAUCGGCUAGGCCAUCUCAUCCAAAGACAUCCAAUCACAAUCAUAAUCACCACCAUGUGCGCGGCAUGGCAUCCGAUCUCGACCCGAUCGGCCAGGCCUUCUCACCACAAUGCCGUGUGGAUCGACAUCACCCUUCAUUAGCUAUUAUCUCCUCCCAAUUAAGGGGAAUAAUCUUAGCACAUCAAUCUCUUCCUAUUUAAGGGGAAUGUCCUCAACACAUCAGUAAGGGGAUUUACCCCUCAAUUACUCCUACACUGCAUAUGUAGUUUCGGGGUUAGGUUAUUUCAACCUACCCUUCUUUGGUGACUAACGAUACUCCCAAAAUAUUUAUUAUAAAAAAAGGAUUUUCAGGUCAAUUCAUAGCCUUUUACACAUCUUUUCAUUUCAUUGGCACUAGUGGUCACAAAUGUAAUAUCAUGCUGGGCAAGUCAGCCAUAUUUCAUAUUUCAUGCUCACCCCUUUCACUUUCAAACAUCAUCAUGAGUUAACAACAACAAAGCAUCUCAAAUCAUGACUUUUAGUACACAUAUGAGCAAAUAAGAGUCUUAGGCACAUUGAGUUUUCUUCCAUAAUUUGGCAUAAUAACUUGUAAUUGAAACAUGAUUGAAUUCAUAAUAUUUUGAUACACAACCCAUACUUUUAACACAUUCCCGAAGGAUAACAUAAUAUGAUAAGAGCAUCCGGAACACAUUUUGAAUAUAUAUCUUUCGACACAAAGUUUAUUCGGAAUAGUCAAAUUUAUAAGGGAUAACCCGGAACAUGAGACAUAAGAGCUUGAGCCAAUAAUAAUUACAAUUUAUGAGGACAUCAUGGAUUUAUUCUACAAGAGGAGUUUAACCAACAUACCUCGCUUUGAGAUUUUCUUAAAGUACUACAAUAUUUCGAAAAUCCUAGCAACUUUGAUCUAUUUAGAGACAUGAUAAAAUUGAAUCAUAAUUAGGAAGAUAUUCAUAGGUUCAGUUCACUUAAGCAUUUUAUCAAGCACUAGGUGUGUAUUAUGAUUUCAAGAUUUUCCUAUGAAGGAUUCCUUCAUCCCACAAUCCAAUAUUUACCCAUUUGAGCUCAACAACCUUCCCACAAACCUUGAUGAUACAUGCAUGCAUAAAUAACACUCUCAUAAACAAGAAUCAUACUCCUCAUUACCCAUCUCCUACCCAAAAUUGAAAUGAAAAGCUACGGCUAGAACCUUACCUCUUGGAUGAAGACCUUGUGAGUUUUCCUUAUUGAAUUUCAAAGCUUAGGAAAGGAUUGAUGAACAAAACACUUGGGGAUUCCUCCUCUCUCUAGAACACUCCCCUAUCUCUAAAAUGGCAAUUUAGACCAGCCAAAAUAACUCCAAGUUUAUUUUUACAAAAAUGGGAUCGGGUAAAUUUUUUUCGAACUUACUUACAAAGUUGGGUCUGCGGUCGCAGACUGGACUGCAAAAUGAUUAUGUGGCCUGCAAAAGGGACCACAAAAAUGGUCCCAAAAAUUGGCAGAUCUGGACAGGGUUGCAACCGUUGUGUUGCCCGUAGAAUGGUUAUGCGGUCGCAUAACGCGCCGCGAAAUCUCCCUCCAAAAAUUUUCAUGCUGGUUCUACGACUGAUUGUGCGGCCUGCAGAAUGAUUAUAUGGCCUCAUACUCGAUCGUAAAUGAUCUUAAAAAAUUGGCUCAAGUUCUGUUGCACUCUGCGGCCGAUCUGCGUUCCGCGAAGAGGUCCUGGGGCCGCAUAGUGGACUGUCGAAAUGCCAUAUUCUGCAAAACGUUUCCUUCAACUCCCCAACGUACUGUACAACCUAAAAUGUCCAUACCGUGGUGAGCUAAAGAAUUUCUACAAUCCUCAAACACAUUAGGCUACCUCGGCACCACGAAACCCCAGGUUUUACUAUAAUUUUAUGGGGCCUUACAGUAUCUGAACAUGGGCCUGUUGGUGGUGUAUAGGGUAUAAUGGCCAUGGUGGGAUCAUAGGAUCGUCUAAGUCUUCUGGCAGAAGAGGGUCAUCGUACGACGAAGGAGUUAAAACUAAUAAGUUCAAAGAGUUGGCUAGUUGAUAUGGGAGAUUUUAUGGGAAUUGAGGUGUGAGUGCUAGGCCGUGUUGGAGAUUAGAUAAUUGGUUGGACAGUUCGAGUGUUGUGAUUUUCUAGACUUGGAGUAGUUGUGAGAUAUUGGAGUUCUGGACGUUGAGGCGGGUCAUGUUUAGAAAGAAUUUCAAAGGGGUUUUGCAGGGGAAUGUGAUAGGCCGAUGGGGAAGCGGUUGUUGUCGUGGGCGCAUUAUUAUCCAAAAUGGAGGACAGUGGUGAAAUAAGGGGAUAUGUAGUAGAAUGAUUGGAUUGUGGUAAUUUAAUAGGGACAUGUGGUGUUUCUUGAUGUUUUAUUUUUUGGAUUUGUAUAGUGAAAGUGUUUGGAGACUGAGUUCUUAGAAGCAGUGUUGGUUGUGUGUGUGUUCAAGUUUGGCAUGCUGUUAGGAAGGUUGAGGGAGUGGAUGAUGGAGUUUUGUGGUGGUGUUGAUGGUGGUCGUCGACAUAGUAGGUCAUUGUGUACCAUUAUUGCGGUAUGUUGUGUUGCAGAAUGGUGGAUGGGGAAGAGGUGGCGGUGUACGUGUUAUUGGGAUUAUUUGAGGUAGUUGGAAUUUGAGAGGUGCACGAAGAUGCAAGGUGGCCUAUACAUCAACAAGAUGCACACAUAGGUAAGGAGGUUUCGUAGUAAAUGUUUUGUAAGUGUGUGCCAAUUAGGAGUUUUUUUGGUAGUGGUUUUUCGACGGGUGCAAGCACACAGAGUCUAACAUAGCGGCUCCUAGUUGUUAUGGAUGUGCAGUUGUCAAUUUUUAAGAGUGUACCAAUCUGGCUGCCUAUUUUCUUUAAAAAAUCAAGGUCGUAGUAUUCCGCGGGAAGUUCUAGAAGUCUAGCCCAGAUGGCGGAGAUGGUGUUUUUUCAUCCGUUGCUGAGAAUUUAGGUUCCCAAUUUCGAACGGUAAUGUAUUGUGAGCAAAUAAACCAUGGCCCAUUGUGAAGUACUUUAAGGUAGUGAUUGAUUUGUGUGAAUCGGAUAAGAAAGUAGUCAUUGCCAAGAUCAAUGAGGUUAAAGGAUUUAAUUGGUUACCAAAGUGUUUGGAGUUUGUUUUUAUCGAAAUGGUAACCUAGUUUUCUACUGAUGGGUUCAUCCCAUGUGUAAUAUGGCCAUUAAUUUGGCUUCUAUAAAAAAUUUGUGGACCAAGUUUUUAUGACAUUUGCCAUGAUAUCAUAUUCACUAUAACAAAUUUGUGGACCAAAUUUUCAUAACAUUUGCCAUGACAUCAUAUCCACUAUUAGGCCAAGGAUUUCUUUCUAUAAAUAGAGGAGCUUCUCCUCAUUUGAAAACACACCAAAAUAAGAGAGAAGCAAUAGAUGUUAGAGAGAAUAAUCCACAGAUUAUAGUCUAUGAGAUAAAUAGUGAGUGUGAGUGAGGUGUUUAAAUAAAGAGUGUUAUUUCUUGUGUUAUUUUACCUCGUUAAAAGAGUUGGUAUCGUUGUUACUCUCUUGUGUUAUUAUUAUUUGCUGUGGAUAUUAUUUCUGAGUGGGAUUAUUAUAUUUUCCCAAAAGCUUGGUAUUAGAGCCAUGGCAAAUAAUGGUACGAUGUCUUUUCUGUACCCCCGUAUCACAAAAGAUAAUAUUAUGAGAAAUGGUGUUUAUGUAUAAAAGCCAUUCUUUGCUCCCAGAAAGUGUGGGAAAUCGUAGAUAGAGGGUAUGCGAAAUCCGAUAAUGAGAAAGCUCUGCCUCAAAAUGAAAAAGAUGUCUUGGAAAAGACAAGGAAGAACGACCAAGCCCUCACGCUCAUCCACCAAUGUUUGGAUAAUGCCAUAUUUGAGAAGGUGGCAGAUGCUACCACCUCAAAGGAAGCUUGGGAGGUUUUACAAAAUUCUCUUCAGGCAGUUGACAAGGUGAGGAAGGUAAAACUUCAAACUCUGAGGGCUGACUUUGAAGUUUUAAAAAUGAAACAAUCCGAAUGCAUUUCGGAUUAUUAUUCAAAAGUGAAGGUUGUUGUAAAUAAAUUAAGAAGAUACAGGGAGGAAAUAAAGGAUGUCUGUGUAGUAGAAAAGAGCCUUUGCACUUUGAAACCUAAAUUUGAUUUUGUGGUGUAUGUUAUUGAGGAGUCUAAAGAUUUAGACUCUAUGCUGGUUGAGCAAUUGGAGGGUUCUUUACAGGCCCACGAAGAAAAGAUCAAAAGAAGACAAGAAGUGCCACUGGAACAGCUUCUUAAAACUUAGGCAUUCUUUAAGGAUUAUGAAGGUGAAAAGAGCUAUCGAGGAAACAGACGAGGAUGAGGACGAGUCCGUGGCGGUCAUGGAAGAGGAAGAAGUAAUGGUAACAACUUCAACAAUGAAGUUAAAAUCAACCAAACAUUCAGAGGUCGUAGUCGUGGACAAGAGGAGGAAAAUGACGUGGCUACUACCAAGAAAAUAAUGGACAAAGGUAUGACAAAUCAAAAAUUGAGUGUUAUAAUUGUCAUAAAUCUAGCCAUUACUUUUGGGAAUAUCGUAGCAAUGUUGAAGAAAAAGCUAACCUUGUUGAUUAACAAAAAACGAAGAAUAUGAGUCAACAUUAUUGAUGGCAGUUAAGGAAGAAGACAGGNNNNNNNNNNNNNNNNNNNNNNNNNNNNNNNNNNNNNNNNNNNNNNNNNNNNNNNNNNNNNNNNNNNNNNNNNNNNNNNNNNNNNNNNNNNNNNNNNNNNNNNNNNNNNNNNNNNNNNNNNNNNNNNNNNNNNNNNNNNNNNNNNNNNNNNNNNNNNNNNNNNNNNNNNNNNNNNNNNNNNNNNNNNNNNNNNNNNNNNNNNNNNNNNNNNNNNNNNNNNNNNNNNNNNNNNNNNNNNNNNNNNNNNNNNNNNNNNNNNNNNNNNNNNNNNNNNNNNNNNNNNNNNNNNNNNNNNNNNNNNNNNNNNNNNNNNNNNNNNNNNNNNNNNNNNNNNNNNNNNNNNNNNNNNNNNNNNNNNNNNNNNNNNNNNNNNNNNNNNNNNNNNNNNNNNNNNNNNNNNNNNNNNNNNNNNNNNNNNNNNNNNNNNNNNNNNNNNNNNNNNNNNNNNNNNNNNNNNNNNNNNNNNNNNNNNNNNNNNNNNNNNNNNNNNNNNNNNNNNNNNNNNNNNNNNNNNNNNNNNNNNNNNNNNNNNNNNNNNNNNNNNNNNNNNNNNNNNNNNNNNNNNNNNNNNNNNNNNNNNNNNNNNNNNNNNNNNNNNNNNNNNNNNNNNNNNNNNNNNNNNNNNNNNNNNNNNNNNNNNNNNNNNNNNNNNNNNNNNNNNNNNNNNNNNNNNNNNNNNNNNNNNNNNNNNNNNNNNNNNNNNNNNNNNNNNNNNNNNNNNNNNNNNNNNNNNNNNNNNNNNNNNNNNNNNNNNNNNNNNNNNNNNNNNNNNNNNNNNNNNNNNNNNNNNNNNNCAGUCUCAUAAAAAUUCGUCGUCCUCUAACGGUACCUUAUUCCAACCCCCAACCAAAAAUGGAGUUGCAGAGAAAAAGAAUUGAAUGAUUCUUAAUAUGGCUAGAUAUAUGUUAAAAGCUAAAAGUAUGCCCAAGGAAUUUUGGGCAGAAGCUGUAUCUUGUGCAAUUUAUUUAAACAACAGGUCUCCAACAAGGAAUGUUAGAGAUCAAACCCCUCAAGAAGCAUGGAGUGGAAGAAAUCCAAGUGUCAAGCACUUGAGAAUCUUUGAGAGCAUAGCCUAUGCUCAUGUGCCACAUCAACGGAGAGCGAAGCUUGACGAUCGAAGUGUCAAGCAUGUGUUUGUUGGCUAUGAUACGAGUUCAAAAGGCUACAAGCUCUACAACCCAAGUAGCGGCAAGAUAGAGGUGAAUCGUGAUGUUGAAUUUGAUGAAGAAUUGGAAUGGAAUUAGGAAGCUCAGGAAGAAACUUCAUAUGAUUUUCUUCCAUACUUUGGCGAUAAAGAAGAACCAGAGACCGUGGAACUUGUGCAGGAUACAACUCCACCUCCUUCUCCAACCAAUGUUGCAUCUCUUUCAUCUCAACAAAGUUAAAAUGAGCAACCGCAAAGGACAAGGAGCAUUCAAGAGCUCUAUGAUGGCACAGAAGAAGUUACUAAUUUUGAUUUUUUAUAUUGUCUCUUUGCUGAUAGUGAACCAAUGAACUUUGAUGAAGGUGAUACAGACAAAAGGUGGAGACAAUCCAUGAAGGAGGAGAUCAAGUCAAUAGAGAAGAACAACACUUGGGAGUUAACAACUCUUCCCGAGGGUCAUAGCGCAAUUGGAGUAAAAUGGGUAUACAAGACAACGAAGAAUGCUGAUGGAGAUAUGGAGAGAUACAAGGCACGACUUGUGGCUAAAGGCUACAAGAAAAGUCAAGGAAUUGACUAUGAAGAAGUCUAUGCACCUGUUGCCCACAUGGAGAUGAUUCAUUUGCUGAUCUCUUUAGUGGAGCAAAUGAAGUGGAAGAUCCAUCAACUAGACGUCAAGUCAGCCUUCUUGAAUAGCUAUCUUGAAGAAGAAGUUUAUGUUGAACAACCAUUGGGCUUCUUGGUCAAAAACCAUGAAUAUAAAGUGUUGCGGUUGAAGAAAGCUUUAUAUGGAUUAAAGCAAGCCCCACGAGUAUGGAAUAGUUGUAUCGACAAGUAUUUUCAAGAUAAUGGGUUUACUCGUUGUCUCCAUGAAUAUGCUCUUUACCUUAAAGUUCAUACUAAUGGAGAUAUAUUACUUGUUUAUCUUUAUGUUGAUGAUCUUAAUUUCACGGGUAAUAACGCAAGUUUGUUUGAAGCUUUUAAGAAAGAUAUGACCCGUGAGUUCGAGAUGACAGACGUAGGGCUCAUGUCAUACUACAUGGGCCUAGAAGUGAAGAAUAUGGAGGAUGAAAUUUUUAUCUCUCAAGAAAGUUAUACAAAAGAGAUAUUGAAGAAGUACAACAUGCUUGAUUGCAACCCCGUGAACACACCGAUGGAAAGUGGGACAAAAUUAUCCAAGUUUGAUGAAGAAAAAAAGUGAAUUCCACAUUUUUCAAAAGUCUUGUGGGAAGUUUGAGGUAAUUGACUUGUACCAGGCCAGAUAUAGUCUUUGUAGUUGGAGUAGUAAGUCGCUUCAUGGAAGCUCCUACCUCCACUCAUUUGAAAGUCACUAGAAGAAUUCUUCGUUACCUAAAAGGUACGAUUGACUUUGGGUUAUUUUAUUCUUCUUCUAGUGAUUUCAAGCUUAUAGGAUUUUGUGAUAGUGAUUAUGCGGGAGAUAUUGAUAAUAGAAAAAGCACAAUUAUUUUGUGUUUUUUCUUGGGUGAUUAUGUUAUUUCUUAGAGUUCAAAGAAACAAUCCAUUGUUACUCUCUCGACUUGUGAAGCUGAAUAUAUAGCAUCAACAUCUUGUAUAUGUCAUGCUAUUUGGCUGAGAAGAUUAUUGAAGGAGCUCAAUUUGUUUCAAAUUGAAGCUAUAUAGAUUUGUAUUGACAACAAAUCCGCACAGACACUUACCAAGAAUCUGGUGUAUCAUGAUCAAAGCAAGCAUAUAGAUACAAGGUAUCGCUUCAUAAGAGAAUUUAUUGCCAAGAAGGAGGCAGAACUCAAAUAUGUGAAGUCUCGUGAUCAAGUUGCGGACAUUUUUACAAAACCUCUCAAACUUGAAAAUUUUCAGAGAUUGAGAUCAAGACUUGAGAUGAAGAAGAAAAAUCAAAAUUAAGGGGGAGAUUUGAUGGGUUCAUCCCAUGUGUAAUAUGGCCAUUAAUUUGGCUUCUAUAACAAAUUUGUGGACCAAGUUUUCAUGACAUUUGCCAUGAUAUCAUAUCCACUAUAACAAAUUUGUGGACCAAAUUUUCAUGAUAUUUGCCAUAAUAUCAUAUCCACUAUAACAAAUUUAUGGACCAAGUAUUCAUGACAUUUGUCAUGACAUCAUAUCCACUAUUAGACUAAAGAUUUCUUGCUAUAAAUAGAAGAGCUUCUCCUCAUUUGAAAAUACACUAAAAUAAGAGAGAAGCAAUAGAAGUUAGAAAGAGUAAUUCAUAGAUUGUACUUUGUGAGAUAAAUAUUGAACGUGAAUAAUAUUGUAGUGAGUCUGUGAGUGGUUGGAGGGUGGACCAUUGGAGUUGUGUGCAGGUUGUGUUUGUGUUUCAGUUGUUGUUGGCUGGAAAGUUAGAGUGGAGGAGGUGUGUGGGAGGUCUGGGUUAUUAGUGCUGCGAUGUAGUAAAUCAACUUCUUGGUCGUUAAUUUCCAAUAUCAAUCACGAUAUUGGAAAUUAUACCAUAAACAAACUUUAAUGUGUAACAAAUGUAUGUGUGUAUAAGCAAUUAUACUAAAUACUACUCAAUAUUUAUUCUUUACUAGGACAUCCCAAGAAGAAAGCUUCACAGAAUAUGAGCCUACAUAGAGAUAAUUAACUUGUGUACAAACACAUCAGUAUUAGGAAAAAUCAACCUAAGGAAUUAAUGGCAACAAUCUGCGCAAUACUGCACUGAAACCAAUGCCAAUACCAAGCCUGACAUUAAUCAACUGCCCUAUGCUUCCACAGUUUGCAGUUUGGGUAUGUUUUCUACUUUAACUCCACAAUUAAUAUCAUGUGGACACGACGCUACGUGUACUUUAUCUGAGCAAACCAGUAAACCAAGCUUCACAAUAUCAAUAAUCUGUUCCUGUGUCAGUUCUGGGAGCUUCUUAUUGUUCAUGUUCUCAUCCACUACUAUGACUGCUGGCUUUUGUAUCUCCGGAAGUUUUUGCUCCUUUAAGAUGGCCUUCUCCUUUUUGCUGUAUAUUACGUAGAGCACUAUUUGGACAAUACCAAAGAUGAAUCCCAAUACAUUUGGAGCCUAUAAAAGAUAACAAGGUUAUAAGUGCCACGUAAGAUCCAAGAUAUUUUAAGUAAACAUGGAUAUAUGCAUAAUUAAUUAUAGAGUGGUAUAUAUGAGCUUGAAAAUAGAACUUACAGCAAUGUUAAUGUCUUUUAGUAAAAGACCAUAGAAGAACCACAUCACUGCACUUAACGUGAGAAACACUGAUAGGAGUAAUGGCAUGUAUUCCACACUCUUUGUUUUUAUUACUUUUCUCUGCAUAAAAUGAGAAAAAUCAUCAGGAUUAUAUUCUUCACGCAUGAAAAAUCAUCAGAGUUUGAAAUAUUUGUAUGUAAAAGCUCACCACAAUGCCUAAGGGUGCUACGAACACACAUAAGGAAAAUACAAGGCAAAUCCAUCCAACCACUUGUCCACGAACGGCCCCUUUGAAUAGAAAUUGGGUAACCAGAACAAUAGCACCAAAUCCACCCACCACUGAUAAUAGGAGCAUCUUCACAGUUUGGACCUGCAUUAAUUAAAUUGUAAACAUCAAAUAUUCUUCCUUUAGGAAAAGAAACGAUGGAAAAUAAGAACUCCUAAAAAGGAAAAAAAAUAGUUGUCCAGUGGAUGCCAUGAAAAACCUUACCUUGGCCUUCUUUGGCGCGUAGAAAAGGUAGAAACCAACGUAGAUAGUUUCAAUGAAAACUCCAAAGGAGUUUAUAGUGAUGAGAAGGGUCGUAUUGGUCUUGAGAAAUGCAUAGUAAAUCCAAAGCAUUGAACUAAAGAGUGCAACCACGUACGGAAUUGAUUGAUAGCCUUCAGUUGAUUUUUUCUUGUAGAUUUUAUAAAAGGUAGGCCUGCAAGUGUGAAGUUAUAUAUAGUGUUAGUCAGAUUAUAAUCCAAAUAAACUGAACAUUUAAAAAAUACUACAAGAAAAUGGAGACUCACAGGGGAGAAAGGAACACAAUGAACGAGACAAUGUUACCUGCAAUUACAAAAGAAAAAGAAAAAGAAAAAGAAAAGAGACGAUGAGUUUAACCUCGACACAUUGAACAUAUUUUAGGAUGGAAGUACAUAUUUAAGGAAUCCAGUCAGAAUAUUUUACAAUUAAGAAGCAAGAAUUAGGAGAAAACAGGUUUGUAUUUACCAAGGACACCAAAAGCAAAAGCCCAGUGACCAGAAGUAGCAGCCAUCUCUUUUUUGUAAGUAUGUUUCUAGCCAAAGAAUUGCAAAUCUCUAGCACUCUGUCUCUCACCCACAAUGCUAGAGUUGCAAAAGACAAUCAAGUUUUCUACUUGGCUGUGAAAUGAGGAGGGUUUGCUUGACAUAUUUAUAUAGGCAAGGGAUGGGAAUUAUUAAAGUUGGUGCAUGCAACAUUGAAAUUAAAGAUCCUUUUUUUUUUCCCUUUUCCUACUGUCUCUGGACAAGUAUUUAAUUAAAGUUCAAAAAAGCACUGAGAGGAGUAAGGGUGCUAUGGCAAUAUCCUCAAAGUUCAAGGAUCCC
RNAcentral lists this long non-coding RNA (55699 nucleotides) under Nicotiana tabacum (common tobacco). RNAcentral's name for it is "long non-coding RNA (NTAB_LNC011131)". Lineage: Eukaryota; Viridiplantae; Streptophyta; Magnoliopsida; Solanales; Solanaceae. The record is from RNAcentral.